Molecule: long non-coding RNA, 62901 nt
Filed under: Podarcis lilfordi (Lilford's wall lizard)
Lineage: Eukaryota; Metazoa; Chordata; Lepidosauria; Squamata; Lacertidae
Source: RNAcentral
CGGCUGUCAACAUUGUAACAACGACAACACAGGGCUUCCCACCUAAAGUAACUGACAUGGACCUGAGUGAAAACUAUAUACAUGAUACUCCUGGUGGCCAGCGUGAGUACUUCAAUACAUAACAGUGACAUAUCACCUUUUCAAAAUCUUAUGGUUCAUUUAUUUCAAGGCCGCUUUUCAGGGUUGCCCCUUUCAAGGUGGCCCCAAACAUGUUAAUAACAAACAAUAACACAAACAAUCUAAAAUGAGGGUUCUUAAGCUUUCUGUCUCCAGGGCCUACUUGAAAUGACUGAAACUUUGUGAGGCCUACCAGUCACAAAAUGGUGCAGCUGGAGCCAUGUCAAGUUACAAAAUGGUGACAGCGUUUAGCAUAAUCAGCUGACAAUUACUGGCAUCAUUUUCUACUGGAAAUCACAAAAUUCUUUGCUACAGCAUUUUCCUUGUGGUAAAGAGUUCCGUAGUCAUCUUUCCUCAUGUUAAAUACAAACAUUAGCUUGGGAAGGAUUUUAAUACAGCUUCCUAUUUUAAGAAGAAUUUGCUGACUCAAAAGCUCUAAGUAUAGCGGUGUUUCAAAUUAUUAUUGUUGUUGUUGUUAUUAUUAAAAUUUGUAUACCACCCUCAUCUGUAGAUCUCAGGGUGGUUCAAACAUAAACAUAUAUAUUUUCGCCUCCACCUCAUGCCUCUCAGUUUUUAUUCAUUUCUUGAAAUUUAUUCUCUUCUCCUUUCACACUGCUAGUUUCUUCUAGCCUUCCUUUUGCUUGCACUUCCUUCUGUAACACCUUCACUAUCUUAAGCCAUUCAUUUCUCCUCCCGGUUUACUAUUUUAAAAAUAAUGAACUUUUAUCUGUUUCUGAUUUUGCUCUAUGCCUUCUCUGGCAUUUUCCCCUCAGAGGAGGAAGUCCUCCUCUCCCUCUCCCAUUCUUCUUCUCAGCCACCUUUACUCGCCAUGCCGGGAGUUGCUGGUGCUGACAUCAGUCCAACCAAAAGGCGACCGUACAGCCAGAAAUCUGGGUGGGUUGUGACACUGAGUGGUCCUUGGCCCACCAUUUGAGAGACACUGAUCUAAAACACAAUAACACCUCUAAAAAACAUCACCACAGCAGAUAAAAACAACACCAGCAGACUGAAACAAAACAAACAAAGAAAUUUGGAAUACUGACUGGAGUCUAGAGAAGGGGACACGAAAGGAAGAAAAUAUUGAUGGUUUGAAGAGUUCUUUGGCAGCUGUGGCUGUGGAUAUAUUACUGUUUAUACUCUGGCUCCAGUGUGCUCCCACUGCUGGGUUGUUUUUUUGAAUCUGUGUAUUCACACUGCAUUACCUACGAUCAAGAGGUAGCCCAUAGUUUCUUGCUAAAUACUGCCGUUUCAUGAGGUCUACCCCAAACCAGCUUCAAUCUGACUUGAAAACAGUAGCUAUAUUCCAUUCAGGUUCCCUGUGGGCAGGUGGUCCUACAUGUCUGACAUCAGCAUGGGUGGAGGAGCACCUCACUUCCCACCCACCUUUCUCAAAACCAGGGGUGUAUGAGGAGAUGAUCACAGCAAUAAUGGCAACCCGGUUUCUCCCUCCGCGCUGGGCUCCUGCCGCCCAAACAGGGCAGUGAUGCUCUUGGCUUGCACUCCAGGCUUGGUGAGGGGGAAGAAGGGAUCUGGGAAUAGCCAGAGCCCUACUGAACUCAAUGUGACUUGUUUCUGGGUAGUCAUGAACAGGUUUGCUCUGUCAGGCUGAAAUCUUAUGCUUUUACAUUUGCUUAGAAGUAAGAUGACAGCUGCACAGAGUUGGGGGUGGGCAGAGAGGUGGGAAAGCACCCAGGCAAUUCACAUCAGGUGAGGCCAUCUCUGCCCCUUUUCCACCCACUGGUGUGGCCAAACAGCAUCAAAGAGCAGUGUAACAAUGUGCAAAAUUGAACUGAAACACAGGAGGGGCAAUCUUGCUGCAUUUUAAGCUGGUAGUGUUUACACAGCCUUAAUCUUAGGGUACGAUCGCUUCUUUUUUAACGACUUAAUUUUUCAGUUAGAGUACAGAAUUUCUCAUCCCUUAAAAGGAGAGGAAAUAGUAUGAUUUACAGCAUAGGGUGGCAGGGAGAGCAAAGACCUAUUCUAUUUCCUCAAAAUUUCAAAUAUGACUCCUAUUACCAGGUAGAGGUAUGUGGAUUUAAAUUUGUGUUUGUUCUCCUGAUGUCAGUGGAAGAAUGCCAUUUGCCCUGUCUCAAAAUGGAGGACAUUUUCAGCCCUCUCUGGCCAUCCCAACGAAAAGGGGAGUUGUCCAGGUCGCCGAUUUUCAAGUUCUUCCUCUGGAAAAUAUGGGAAACAGCAUGAAGAAAAAGCAAAAUAAAAAACAAUUCUCAUUUGAACCAACUGGAAAGAAUACCAGGAAAAUAUCAUUAAGGCUGCAAUUCUAUAUCUGGAGCAUUGAAUUCAGUGGGACUUACAUCUAUGUAGACAUGCAUAGGAUUGUACUGUAAGGCUGCAAUCCUAAACACGCGUUCCAUUCUGCACUUUUUCCUGAGUAAAGCACCCAUUGGAUUACAGUGUUAAUUACAUUGGCCUUUCCCUCAAUUGGCUCAACAAAAUUCAGUCCAUGUGCCUUUCUUGAUUGUGCGAUUGUGGUGCUCAGCACCACUUCCCUGAACCCAUGCCAUGGUGCAACACUAUAUAGGAUCUGAUUAUGCUGUUGGAAAUACUGAUUAAAAGGAACAGGGCCGCUGGAAAAGUGAUCAAGAAGAGAUGAGCCGAAAGACAUGCUUAAUUUACGAAGACUUGAGGAGCUCCAUCUUUUAAGAGUGACUUGAUUAGAGCAGGAAAAAGGUUGGUUGAGAAAUGAGCCUACCAUCUUUGGAACAAUGAUUGUUUUCUCCCCAUUCUCUGUUUUUAAAAAAUGGACAAAAAUUUAGUUGUGGUUGGCAUUCACUAUUCCGAUGCCUUUAAAUCUUUGCACACAAGAUUGCUCACCUCACUAACAAAAAUAACACCAAGAAAAUAAAAAAAAGUUUUCAAUUGUAUAAUACUUAAAAUUUUCAGGCUUGUUUGUUUUUUGUUUUUUAGCAACUCUUCCAAUAUAGAUUUUUCUAGUGGUGAAAUGAGGAAUAUAAAAAAUGUUUCUACAAAGUUGGAAACUAUUUUCUGACAAAAAAGGGGGAAAUAAAGUGUUCAUCUGUGCAUCUUUUGCUUAGGAAUUUCUGCCUGCAAAACUGCUGCCAAAUUCACUUUUGGAAGACUUUACGAAGAGGUACCCUUUUCAGUACUAUCCUACGCAUGAGUAUUCUGAAGCAAGUCCCACUGAAUUUAAUGAGACUCCCUUCCAGUACAUGUAAGGGCAUACAAGUUUUCAGUCUGAAGGGGAGGGGAUCUGAAAUCAGAUUCUGAAAUCUAUACAUUGGAUUGUCCAUUUGUUCUGAGUUCCAGCUAACUGUUUAAACUAAUGGCUUACAAUUGCGAUGUCACACUCAGACAAUGUAGCAGGGUCUUUCUGUAUUUAUAUCAUACUUGCUUCGUAUAUUAAUUCCUUCAUCUUGGUUUUAAAUAGCAAUCUUCCUUAGGAUAUGUAGCAGAAUAAUUCCACCAGAGGAAAAAAAAGGCUUUUAUCUCUGUUCUCCUCUGUGAAUGUACCAGAGGCCAUAUAUAGUGCAGACAGCUGCCCUGCUCUGCCUUGCGCUUGCCCUAACCUCUCCUCUGACCCACUCUCUUUCCUAUGAAAAGCUUUAAUUCAGGCUUUGAACUGAAGUCAGCAGCCGGGCAACCCUGCAAUAUCAACUGCCAGCUGGGAAAAUUACACGGGGAGUCUGCAGAGGGAGCUGAGAACUGGUGCAGCAUCGCUCAGCUCCGGGCCUUAAAACUGGACUUGAACCAGACCUCUCUGGCAGGACGGAGGCUGCGCUGUCUCUUUGUGCAGUCAUCCAAAGGGAGCAAAGCUGGGAUCUCAGUGAUUGCAUGAGCCAGGCUUGUUCUGCAAUUAGAGGGGAGAUCCUAGCUAAUCCCUCUCUAAAUGAGGGCUAAUUCCUAGUGUAAAAAACCUGUCAGCUGCUUGUUAACAGUUGCUUGGACCCUUGGUCAAUUGCAGGAGGGAACUGCAGCUGGACCCUCUUUUUCAAAAUGGGAACAUAAAUGUAAAACUUUACUAAGGCCAUGUCUGCUGUGUUAAUAACACAAAGCUUAAAUAAGAUGGUUGGGGGUGGGGGAAAUACAGCAGUAGUGCUGGUGGCAGGGGGAUAUUUAAUAUUGAAUUUGCUGGAGGUUUUUUUUUUUUUUUAAGCAAACGUGGAAACUUUUAGACACAAUCCCGGCUCUGUGUUUAAGUCAUUAAAACAUCUUUAAACAUUUUCUGGUUUUAGUUUUCUUAGCAGCAGUCCUUUUCCUGGAAUGUAUUUUAUUUUUCUUUUAAGUCUGUGAUUAUAUAUAUAUAUAUAUAUAUAGCAAAGCCCUUUGCAUUUCCAACAGUUUUUUUUUUUUUUAAGGGUGGGGGAAAGUAGCACAGGGUGGGGAAAGCAAGAGAACAGGGCCCUUUCUGUGUUUUAUUUCUAAUCCACAGGAAUCCAUUUUAGCCUUUUAUGGCCGCUGCACUUGCUGAGAGGAUUUACAUUCUCCGUACGUUAUCUGCAACAUCGCAAGCCGUGGCUGAGGAAUUGUUUCAUACCUGGGCUCAAAAACACACCAGUGCUUCUGGGAGGAUUUUUUUUUUUGGGGGGGGGGGGGAGAGACAGGGAAGCAGAGAAAGAGAAAAAAAGCAAGCCUGUGAAGAAGGGGGGGGGGGAAGAGAAGCUAAAGAAAGAGCUAGGCAGGAACUGCGGUGUGUAGAGUUCAUGCCCCAGACAAACUGAUGUUUAAACGUACCGGAGAGGGUAUUAGAGGAACCUUUGAUUCCAGCAGUGUAGCGCAGGCCUAGUCUAGAGAACAAUCUGUGUGAAGAAAAAUAAGAAUGCCGCAUUCUUUCCAUGGCGAUUCCUUGCUUUUGGCUUUUGCUCACACACAGAUGUAACUUGGGUUCCACAGACGUUAUGUGCACUUUGUUUUAACGGGAACCACCUCAUAUGCUACAUAGAUCUGGUCUAUGUUAAUUUUGCAUGUGCUCAUUCAUAAAUUAUAUUCCGUCUCAUUUCCAUGCUGUUUUCUCUAUCCAUAUGAAAAAGUAUAUUUACAAUUUUUAUCACAAAAUAACAUUUCUUUUGACACCCAUAUUUUAUUUUGAAGGACAUAAAAAAAAAACAUUUUGGAGCAUGUAUAUAAUAACACUGUGGUCUGAGAACAAUAUUGUAGAAUUCGUAAAAGUGCAAAACCCAAGGAAUAAUUAUGUUCUGCUCUGUGUAUUAGACUAGGAGGUGCAAAUUAGGUCAGUUUGAGAAAACAAAUUCUCCUCCAACACAGCUUGAUUAGAACGGAAUUGAUAUUCAUUACUUUACACUUCCCUAGAACAUAAUGGGUGUUCCUUAUUUUAGGCAACAGACUUCUACAGUGUCCUUGAUUUUGGAAACUAUUAAUCAGACAAUCACAAAAUAGAGCUCUUAGAUGCUGAAGAGGACAAGCUUCACUGUCCUCUAAAAUAAAUAAACGAACCUAGAUUGUUGCUGCUAGGCAAAUUUCUUUGCCAGCAUAUUUUGUUUGAUGAAAAGUUAUCAUUAUGGGAAAGAAAACUAAUGACGAUUUAUUUAAAACAUUUAUACUCCACCUUUCCACAAACACAGGCCUCUGAGACAGUUUACAAACAGAAUCAAACAGUCCAUUCUAACAAAAACAAGCCAAGAAACUACAACAUUAGAAACAAAAGCAGCAGCCAACCAACAGCUUGUAUAUAGAAAACUAAUUAAAUGCCACCUAAAUAUUGAGCAGAACGCAGGUGGUGCUGUGGUUUAAACCACUGCGCCGCUUGGACUUGCCGAUCAGAAGGUCUGUGGUGCGAAUCCCUGUGAUGGGGUGAGCUCCCGUUGUUUGGUCCUAGCUCCUGCCAACCUAGCAGUUCAAAAGCACGCAGUGCAAGUAGAUAAAUAGGUACCGCUCUGGCGGGAAGGUAAACGGCGUUUCCGUAUGCUGCUCUGGCUUCGCCAGAAGCGACUUAGUCAUGACCCGGAAAAACUGUCUGUGGAAGCGGACAAACGCCAGCUCUCUCGGCCUGUAAAGUGAGAUGAGCGCCGCAAGCCCAGAGUCGUUCGCGACUGAACUUAACUGUUAGGGGUACCUUUACCUUUUAAAAUACUGAGCAAAUAAAAAUGUCCUUCUAGUGGCCAGCAGUGUGGGGCAGUGUUGCUUAUGGGGCUUCCCAAGGUGGAGGUUGCUGCUGGUAACCAAAAGGAGAUUGAGAGGGAAAAGGUCAGUGCUGUGCAAGCAUAAAUGGACACUCCCACCACACCUGCCAGGAAGUCCCUGGCUAAAAUCUUGCCUCUUUUAUGAGCUUACUAAGUGGCAUUAAGCAAACCACUCUUUGCUAUGCCAUCAGCAAUGUAGGGCUAGUAAUACCAAUCUCCUUUACAAUAUUGAUUUGCUGAUAAUACAAUGUAAGGGGAGUGCUUUAAAUGCUGCAAAAAAAGCAUAUAACACUAAAUAUUUUUAUAACUAAAUUGAGCAGGACAGUUGGAACUAUAUUUUAUUUAAUUUUUUUUUUACAAUUUUCAACAAUUAAAGAACUAAAGAUUGAGGACCUGACGAAGAAUAUAAAAGUAUAAUUCUUCAGAUAAUUUUUUAAAAAAUGCAUCUAGAUUUUAAUUUUGGGAAUUAUUGAAGAUGUUCUCAGACCUAUACAAUUGAAAAUAUUUUCAUUCAUAAAUCACUCUGGUGACCAAUAUAUCUGAUAAUAAAUACCGUAUUUUUUGCACCAUAACACUCACUUUUUUCCUCCUAAAAAGUAAGGGGAAAUGUCUGUGUGUGUUAUGGAGGGAAUGCCUACGGGUGGCAUGCCUAUGGAUUUUCCUCCUCUAAAAACUACGUGCGUGUUAUGGUCGGGUGCGUGUUAUAGAGCGAAAAAUACGGUAUAUAUUUUUAAUAGAAAAUCAAAUUCUGGCAUCUGCGUGACAUCCAAGGAUAGAGUAGGUUUGGAGACCCCACCCAACAAUUUUUGCUGGAUCUGGGAGCAGAUCCCAGCUGUACUGGACCGCAUGGAGGAGUCUGAGGGGAAAACUGCAUGUACAGCUUCAUCUUGAAAUACACACACACACAAAAUUGGCCAGCCUGUUUUUCUGGCUGACUGGCAAUCCCACCAGUCCAAAAAAGGGACGCAGUCCUUGCCAGGAAGAUUUACAGUUUAUGUUAGACAGAUGAAACCUAAAUAAAGAUAAGAGUUUAGUAUAGUAUUAAAGUGGAGAAGAAUCAACAGCCCAUUGUGACAGCAAAUCACCCUUCUAUUCAAAGGUUCACAAACAUUAAAAAAACACCUUGACUGAUUAUAUGUAAUGUGCCAAAGGCUGAUAAGUGGAGGUGCUAAGUGGCAAUGAAUCUACAGUAAGAGAUUUGAGUAUGAGCCCCUGAUGCACAUUCAUGCCUGUAUCUUUAGCGUGAAUGCUAUGUCCCCUCUGGCUCCAGUGUGCAGGAUUCUGUUAUCUGUAUUCUUUUUUGUGUGUGUACUGGAUUUUAAGAGUGUACAAAUAUAUUCUGUGCAUGGUCGUGAUGUGAGAAUAAACUGUUAGGUGUACCCCGUGAAAUGUUUCAGGGCUCCCAGAAUUUAGCUUGUGUUUGGAUUCCUUGGAACCAAGGUUAUUGGAGAUUAGUGGUGUUUUCUGUGAUGCACGGCCCAUCUAUGAAUGUCCACAGACUGAGUUUCAGAUGGAAGGGGUCACAGCAUUGACAUUCCAACAAAUUCUGCUACUUCACUGAGGUUUUGGGUGGGUGGGUUGGUGGGUGGAGUCUUGAGCAUGCAUACACACCCAAACCAUUGCUCUUGGAUUCUUCAGAGAGCAAGACAGACCUUGCCAGUCCAUUUGUUCUCUCUCACACAACCCAGUGACAUCACUUCCAGGCAGAGGGAAAGCCGAAGAAAUAAUUGCCCCCUUCUGCUCACCUUCCAGAAGGAUCUCUGACCAGAAGCUCUGACGGCAACAAAACACCUGUAAACUGCCACCUUGUGUGCAGAGGCCCAUCCUCCUAGCAAAAAGGGUAUGUGCCAACAAAAGAAAUGGCCUUGACCAUUUUGUUUUUUUUUACAGUCCCCUGUUCUGAAGAAAUUGCACCUUCCAGCUAUAAAAUAAAAGGGCUGGAUGGAGGAUCUAGCUUCAAGACAUUGCAAUACUGUACAUUCUUUGUGCGCAUGGCGAUCUUUUGGAGGCAUCGUGGCUGAAGUGUGAAAACCUGAGCAGUGAGCUAUGAAUGCUGAGCGCAUAUACAUGUUCCACAAAGCCUCCAGGCCAUACAUUUCUUUUCUUGCUGCAUGCAUUUGUCCCAUCGAUUUAAUUUUCCUUUCCUUCUCAAGGCUUUUAGCCCCGCCAAAACCUCACUGGAACCUCGUUUCUGCACCUACCUAUGCCUUGCAUUUUCUCGACAAUGGAGGCAGAGGAGGUAGCGCAUUGGAUACCACAUGCCCCACCGAAGCCUUUGUUUGAAGGCCUCCUAAUAAAUCAGCUGGGAUGCAGGCAGACCCACCACACCCUGUUUGCACAGUGUAAAUUCUGGCCGGGUUUCUGCCUCCUGUCAUCUCCUCUCGCUGGUGUCAGGUUACUCCCUCCCUCCCUGUGAGUGAAACAACCCACCUGUGCCUGAGGGGCCUGUUUUUGAUUCCUGGGAAACUUUAACCUCUAUUAAUACCACUAAAUUAUUUGUUCAUAUGGUAAAGCACUUAUGUAAACUGAUCUUCCAUGCCCUCCCCCCCCCCCGCCUGCUCGGAGGAGGUAGAGGCCUUGCACAGAUGGCUCUACCUGUUCUCAAGAGGCUUUCAAACCCUCUACAUUCUUCUGUGCUGCUGCCUUAAUUUUUUUUAUUUUUUAUUUAGGCAAGGCUGGCGGGCAGGGAAUUUCUGUGACUGGAGGGAGUAAGCAGAGCACUAACCCCCUCCUUUGAAGCUCCUGGGGUGGCAGCAGAUUGCUUACCCUCCAAGCACUUAAAUUACCUGGGACUAUCUCGAAUAUCUGCUGAUAAUCCCAGAUUGAUGAUCAACUAGUGAAAACCCCAUCGUAUUUUAUUUUUUUGCCUGGCUGCCGAUUGGCUUGUAUGCAGUGGAGGCCGCUGCCUUGCACCUAUUAACAUCCUUGAAUCCCAGCACCUGCAGCCCCCUCUUCUUAAAACAGGUGAUUUUCAGGAGAGCUGGCGCCAUUUUCAAUGUUCAGUCAGCAUUGUGGCAGAAACUGUUGUUCCAUGUUCAGUUCUGAGUAGCCUGGGAGUAAGUCCCACUGAGUUCAGUAGAGCUUAUUUUAGAAUAGAUAUAGAAUCAUAGAACUGUGGAGUUGGAAGGGACCCUGAGGGUCAUCUAGUCCAACCCCUGGAAUCUCAACUAAAGCUGCCAUGGCUAGUGGUCUCCCUGGGCAAGCAUUUCUCUCUGCUGAAUUGGGCAAGAGAGUGAAGGUUUUAUAUUUUUAAAAUAACAGAGGCCAACAAGAGAAUAUUGAGAAGCAAAGCAGCUAGGAAGCCUGAUCUUUAUUGAACUGUUGCAACAGGUUCCUCACUCACCACACACAGGAUGGAGGAGGAACCCAGAACAAUAGUGUGCCAGCCCUUAUAUAGACUUUUGAAAUUGCCCACCCUGGAGCCCAAGACCAACCCUCAAUACAUCAUACAUGCAUCACUGAAGGGGCGGUCUACAGCAGAAGGGGUGGUCUACAGCAAAAUAUUGUCUGACAGGAAACCUGUUGAUGGGUUUACCUGGAGAGCCUGGCUAUUCUUUUGCGAUGAUAAAUACUUAAUUCCUGAGUCCAGGUCACAGGCUCACCCUAUACAUGUGCCCAAAUGUGUCCUUAAGGCAGGAUUUGUGAGCACAAGAGACAAUGGAGAGGCGUUUCCCAUUUCCUUCUUCCUUGCAGAUAAACAUUUGAGUUCAAUUUGGGAGAGUCAAAAUGGUUUCAGGACUUUUUUCCUGUACCGUUUCAGGCAUGUGGUUUAUAUGUGUUUGCCUGGUACAUUUAUGUAUGUGGUUGCUUGGUACAUUUAUGAACAUUUAUUUUAUAUCUUAUAAUUCUCAUAACAGAUUUCUCCAGGAACUUACUGGGGGAAAGCUGAAAAAUGAUUAGGGUGGGUGGGGUACUGGCAGGUACAUAUUUUCUCUCCCUCAUCACUGAGGGAGGUGGGGGGGAGGGACCUUAUUUAGGCUGUAAUCCAAUACACUGUUGUCCUGGAGUAAGCAGCAGUGAACUCAAUGGGACUGACUUCUUGGUAGAUUCACAUAAGCUUGCACUGUGGGUCUCUUCCCUGGUUGCAGGAUGGGUUAUAUGCUCAGCAACUGGAGAGAUUUUUUUAAUUUUAUUGUUAUUAUAUUGGUGGGUGCAAAUCAAUUUCCUCUAGGGAAUGAACUACUCCCAAGCCCUGUACAGCUCAGAAGUAAAUCCAACUCAAUUUAAGACAGUUUAUUCCUUCAUAAAUUGCACUGAACAGCAACUGAACACAGCAAGUCCAAUUACAGAGCUGUAAGGCUGCAAUCUAUGGGAUGUGGGUGGCGCUGUGGAUUAAACCACAGAGCCUAGGACUUGCCGUUCAGAAGGUUGGCAGUUUGAAACCCCACAACAGGGUGAGCUCCUGUUGUUUGGUCCCUGCUCCUGCCAACCUAGCAGUUCGAAAGCACGUCAAAGUGCAAGUAGAUAAAUAGGUACCGCUCUGGCAAGAAGGUAAACGGCGUUUCCGUGCGCUGCUCUGGUUCGCCAGAAGCGGCUUAGUCAUGCUGGCCACAUAACCCGGAAGCUGUACGCCGGCUCCCUCAGCCAAUAAAGCGAGAUGAGCUCCGCAACCCCAGAGCCGGUCACGACUGGACCUAAUGGUCAGGGGUCCCUUUACCUUUACCUUUACCUAAGGCUGCAAUCGGAUGCUCAGUUGCUAGGAAAGGAAGUCCCUUUGUACUCUGCGAACUUAUAAGUACACAUGCAUAGGACAGCGCAAGCUGUAUGUCUGUCUCCCAGUUGCUUGGGAAAGUAAUUUGACUGCAUGAUACACACCACACAUUUAAAGCACACAACGUACCCAGAGAACCCCUGGAACUGUUGUUUGUUAAAGGGGCUGGGAAUUGUAGCUCCGUGAGUCAAAUACAGUUCCCAGGAUUCUUGGGAUGUGCUUUAAGCAUGCUUUAAAUGUACUGUGCGUGUGCAGCCUUGAAUUCCAGGGAACUGGUAAAAGACUACUUUGUUUUUGCCUUGAGGCUGGGCACAAACCAAUCUUUCCUUACCCCCCUUGAAACAGAAAAAGAUGUAAAAGUCUUUUAGCCUCUUCCCUGGCAUGUAGCAUCACUGUCAAAAGGGAUGGUUUGUGCCACAAGCAGCCCCUCCAGCUAUCAUCAAGUAACCUUCCUUCUGCCCCCACCAAUUCUAUUGUUAUAGGUUUCCCUUUCAGUAGGGCUAUCAGUGUUUGUUGCCCUGAGGUAAAUACCUGGCCAGCAGGACCUGUUUAAAACUCUGCAAGGUCCAAGGAUUGAAAGGUUAUUUGAAGCCACUCCUUCUUGCUCACUGCACUGAGGGCCAGUGUUGUUUCCACCACCACCACCCUCAGCUGAGAGUGGAGGAACUCAAUAUGCAUAGAGUCCGUUCACAAUAAAAAAAUAAAUCUAGAGGUAGAUUUUCUAAAUUAAUAUUGCACCUUUUCUACAAGGAGCUACAUUUAUAUUGCACCUUUCCUAGAUGUUGAGUUCAGGCAUUCACCCAACCAUAACCUCUUAAAUUGAGGAUGAAGCCAGGUUGGGCACAUAAGCUCUGCCCCAAAUGUUUCCAGGAUGCUCUUCAGGUCUUCCUGCAAUUAGUGAGAAGUUCUGAAGAGGCUUUAAAGGUAUGUUCAGUCGACCCCUCUUGGAAACCUCCCAUGAGCAGGAAGCGUGGCUUAUCAAGGUCUCCAAUCAUUGGGAGAGUCCUUCAUGUGAAGAUAUGAAGAAAGAGCAGCCUUCCUGCCAGGGGGCAUUGGGGGUGGGUUUGGUUUAACCCUUUGUGUGUUCAGGCAUUGGCCAGUAGUAGUUGGUGGGGCAGGGUGGUGUUGCUUCCCUGGCCUUCCACCACCACCGUUGCUGUGUUGGACUUGGAGGGCAAGGAGGAAUGUGGCUGCCAAGGUUGGCGCAGUGCAAAUGCAUUGGCAGGAGUACCAAAUUACAGAUGUGUUUGCAUUGCACUAACCUCACUGCUGCCUUGACACUCCCCCUUCUGGUACACCACAGGGAUGGCAGUGUUGGAAGCUCAGGCAAGCAGCACCGCUCUGCCCUGCCAACUGCUAGUACUGGAUAUAUUCCAUCUGAUUUGAAUUUGGGAAGGUGCACCACCUAAAGAUCAGCGUUAGCCUAAAGCGAAAUUUGAGCAGGACAGAGCAGAUAGGGACGCUCCCAUUGAGAUUAAGAGGGUCAAGGUUUUUACUCUGUCAUUUUCACUUUGCUGGAAAAUAACUAUGUUCAGCUCUCCCCGUGAGCAACAUCAGAAAGAGAAAAUACACCAAGGUACAAGAUGCAUUUAAUGAUGUACAAAGAGUAAGGUCUUGAAUGUAAAUUGACCAUAUUUAAAUAUGCUUGUGAAGAAUGCUUCAGUUCCCUGAAAUGGCUUCUUUCUCUCUCUCUCUCUCUGGCUGUCUUGAACCUCCAAUCAAGGCCUGCCUGGGAGCAAUUUGGUGUUGGAAAUUGUUGCCACACGAACAGCUGAACGCUGGCAGGGUCACCUGCCCCCUGUGUCACACCCUGUCAUUUUAGAUUAAGAUAUGCAAAGGCGACAUGGCUGCGAACUUUCCCUUUGCUGCCGUGGCUGUGGCCAUCCCCUUGGCUUUAAUGAGAGGAAGGCGUAAUUGGAGUCAACUGCUUGAUUAUGAUAAUUGCUACUGUCUGGGGAAAGACGCAUUCAAGGCCUGUAGCGCGAUCAAUAGUGCACCUUUUAGGGUGGCUGCUGUCUGCACACAGGCAGAUGGGUCUGGAGGGAAGCAGCUCUCUCUGGCCCCAUACUGGCCUUUGACCUUAGGUUGACCACUUGUUCACUUCAGGAUUUUAGCCGGUCAGGGAAAAGGGUCAAUAGGUUUCUGGUUGUUCCUUGGUUCUCUUGGAUGAUUCAUCCUGAAGGAUUUAUCCCCUCAGAGGGAAGGGGUCUUCUUAAAAUUUAUCCCUUCGCUACAACCACAGAGCAAGAUGCCAUAUAUUUUCCAAUGGGAAGCUAACUGUUUUCAUUGUGCUUCUCAGCAAAAGCCUCGGGAAGACUCUGUGGGAAAGGCAAAAAAUAUAUAUUCCUCUUUAUGUGUCCAGUUGGGUGGACGACCUGUUGGGUUAGAUCAGGGCUGAAGAAAUAUAGGGUUCAGCUCUCAACAUUGUCACUGGCACCCAAUGUUUCUUUGUGAAGUACCGUUUAGGCUCUCCUGACUGCACAAACAUUAUACAACACCUACUGCUGAGAACAGUGUAUUUAGGGCAGGGUCCAACUGAGUAUGUUUUCAAAGUUAUGAACGCCAGAUACGGCACCAAAUGUAUUCACAAGACAGCCAGAGCCAAAACAGACAUGACAGGAUGCACUGUUGUGCUUUUCUUUCCCUCAGUGUUAUUUUAAACCAAAAGCAGCCUUGGGUGGCUGCAAGUUUAAAUGAAGGAGUGAAUGGUGGGAUCUUUUCCCCUCUGUCCAUUUCCCCUCUCAAAAUUGUCCUCCUCGGCUGUUUUUCUCCCCACAAAGGAAAAAUAUGAAGCAUAUAUUUUCCCCACAGACAGGAGUACAUCUGAGUGUUUAUGUCUUUGGUUGUUACCUUGCUUUGUGUUUUAAAUGCUGUUAAAACACCUUGAUCACUGUUUGGUGGACAGGCAGGAUACUGGUGUAACAGUGUCCUUCUUCCAAGACUGUCACAUCCGCAGCGUACAUUUAAAGCAAAUGGCUUCCACCUGAGAACCCUGGGAUCUGUAGUUUGUUAAGGAUGCUUGGGUGCUAUAGCUCUGUGUGGGAUAAACUACAGUUCCCAAGAUGAGGGAAGCAAUGUGCUUUAAAUGUAUGGUGUGGAUGUAGAACACUGCGGGAAAGAUAUAUGGAACUGAGUGUCACGUUUGGACUUCUGUAUCUCCACUGGCUUAUCUGCUUUCAAGACUAGCCUGGUAAUAUAUACAAGAGACUUUGACAUCCUUCAAGAAAAGAAACAGUCAAAAUGAAAACAGUAAUUAACACCAUUACCAGAAUGGUUAUCUGACUUACGUUAAGUGCAAAUCCAUCUCUUUUAUCAUAAUGGAGCUGCCAUCAUGGGCUGGGUGGUGAUGGUAACAACAUCAACAAUAGUAAUUCUGAACUUUGAGCCAUUGAAAUUAUGCUGGGAAUCCAAUACAAGAAACAUUUACAAAGAAAAGAUACAGAAAGGCUGGGUAAGGGCACUGUGUAAGGAAACCAGAUGUUGUUUUUUUAUAAAAUAAAUCUUUAUAAAGUUGGAAUCUAAUUUGGUAGAGGAUGUUCUGAACUAUGGCACCUAAUGGUAUGAUCCUAUGCAUGUUUAUUCAGAAGCAAGCCCCACUGCAUUCAGUGACGCUUACUCCCAGGUAAAUGGGCAUGGGCUCUACCUAUAUUUUGGGGCACAUUUGGGAUAAUGGCUAGCUUGAUAGGCAGAACAACUACAACCAAUGUGUGCUCUGCAAUUUACGAUGUCACCUUGCUUUGUUCAUUUUUCAUGAAUUAUUGAGCUCAUCCUCUUUCACAGCUCUGUCUCUUUUCAUAAUGGUCUUUCAUCCCUGUGCAGGAUUUUUGCACGGUAAAUGUUUUCAAGAACUUUGAUGUGUGUUUCGUAACAUGAAUUGCAUCCAUGUAACCGAUAACACUUUUUAGUUUAUGUCAUUUUACUACAGACAUAAGAAUGGAGAUUACUUAUGUAAAGUGGAGCUAAUGUAGCAGGAUUUAUAAUGAUGAUUCCCCCCCACCAAAUAAUAAUACAGUCUCGAGCAUCAUAAUCCUGUGACUGCUUAUGGAAUCUUACUCAAAGUGUGCUCACUUUGAUGAGGGCACAAAAUACUCAAUUGCAUGAUAUUUCAUAAGCAAUUUCAGAAAACAUGAAGUUCCUACAUGUCCCUGGGAGAGGAGAGGGGAGGUAGGGUGAACUGGCCAAACAGGAGACUUGGAAUUCAGCUAGCUCAUAAGGCAGUAAGAAUCUCAUACCCCUUGCCCUAUGCGGCGCAUAAGUGGGUGGCAGCAGCCGAGAAAUAAGGGUUGGCACUGGAACCGUAAACCACCCUACUGUUACAAGGCUGAUUCUCGAUGUGAAUUUGCAUUAUUGUCUAAGGUUGCUUCCAGACAACCUGGUUACUGAGCAUUCAUCUUGAUUUGUUUGCACAAAGUUUGCAGGGUGGUUCUGUGACGCCGACUUUAGAUUAAGCAUCCAUUCUGAAGUAUUUGCGGGGAGGUUAUGUGAUGUCAUUUCAAGCCACUUUCCAGGGCAUUUUGCAAUCACUUUCCUUAUUGCAAAAAGGUUUGUUUUUUGGGGGGUGUAUGGGUGGUUUAUUGCACAAGAGUGCCAAGUCUAUUUUAACUUGGGGAAGCAACAUGGCUCAGUGGUGAAGCAGAAGGUCCUGCAUCUCCUGGUAGGGCUGGAAAAAAACCCUGCAGAGGCGCCACCAGUCAGUGUUGAUGCUGCUGAGCUAGAUGGACCAAUGGUCUGACUCAGUACAAGGCAACUUCCUAUGGUCCUAACGGCACAACAUGAAUUUUUGCCAGUAUUUGGUUGAAUCUCACUUGUAAAACAGCAACAUUCUAGAAAUAUCCCUAGUCUGUCUGUCUCUCUCUCUUUGUUUAAUUUAUUUUUUCUGUGCAAUGUGUUUAUCAGUGCUUCAUGUGGUCAAUGGGGGAUACACAUCACUCUAAUAUUAGCAUUCCCAGAUUAUUAAUUAAUUAAUUGACUGAUUAUAUCCCACUUUUCCUCCCAAAGGAGCCCAAGGCGGCAAAUACCAAUGUGAUAAAAUGAGUGCUAAAACAAUAACACUAAUGUAUAUAUUAAAAGCAUUUAAAAUAUCUAAGGAUAUGUAAAAUAGAUCAACAUGCUCUAAGAUGUUAAACAGAGACAGAUCAAAGGAUAUGAGCAAAUUGUGCCACCUCUUUGGUGAUUCAGACCAAUUUGGUGGUCUAAUCCAGAGACAAUGCGACUCAGUGACGUUAUGUGAUUACCAUGAAAUGGACAAGCGGUGCCAUACUUAGUUCAAAAACUCAAAAGUUGGGAACUUUGGGUGUUUGUUUGUUUGUUUUUAAUUCAAAACGGGCAUAUCCAAAUUGCAUUAAAAAUCCAGACUCUCAUCUUCACCUCAAAUGCUCUUACUCCCAGAAACCAAAUAAAAGAAUUAUUAAUAUUAAUAAUAACAUUCAAAUAAAACAAUACUCAGUGGAAGUCUGACCUACUGGUAUUUCUUCUUUGUAUAUGUUAAUUUAGUUAAAUAGAGGCUGCAGUUUUGAGAAAGGAGUAAUGGUGUGGAAGGAGGUGCUUAAUGAUUUUGUGCCAGUGGCUGUUUCCAUACACAAACCCCAUUUUUUAAGCUGCUCUCCCCUGCUCAUACUCUGCAGGGGUAUGCGCCAGUGUGGUUCAUCAGGGCAGGCUGGUUGCCUGAAGGUCUUACCCCAUGCUGACUCACAGUAAAAUAACCCGACCAAGGGCCAAAUGAAACGCUACACAAACAUGUAACAAAUUCCCUAUGCAUUUUUUGUUUGUUUUAGAAAAAGUGGUAAACAACUGUGGGAGGUUUCCAGUUCGAAUACAUGCGCAAUGUGGAGGGAGAUGCUGCUUUAGUCUUUCUGCUUUUUUCUGCUUUUUUUUAAAUAAAAAAAUAGGCCUGCUCCUCUGCCCGUGAGAGAAAAGAUCCAGGUUUGAGAGGGGAAACUGCCAGAGGGGAAAGGGUUAAGCAGUGACCUCCCCCACCAACAUUCCGUCACUCAAACUGGCAGCCUCCUGUAGCUUCCGUGCAGUUGUAAAAAAAAUAAAAGUUGGGAGACUGUUACAUGAUGUGACUGCUGCGUAACAUAUACUUUAGCCCUGAAAUUGCCGAAAUGCUCACAAGGACUCAUCAUCGUGUCUAGUUCUGCAAAUCCCAUAGUGAGCCCAGAGUUCCAAAAGCAGGGUAGCAAGAGCAGACAAGGAGAAAGCAUGCUCAGAUUUAUGGCGACACUGAGAAACAAGUUGAUGCGACAUUCCUCAUCCUCUCUCUCUCUCUCUCUCUCUCUCUCUCUCUAUCGUGUGUGUGUGUGUGUGUGUGUGUGUGUGUGUGUUGCCAAAGAACUAACUGGUGUCUAUUCUUUGCCAACUUUCACAUACGUCUCUAUCAUACACACGUCUUGAAGGAGAGGUGUUCUAAGGUGGAGAGGUCAAAUACUUCUCAACGACCAGAUUAAAAAGGAAAACAAUUUUAAGAGAGGGGGAGAAAUACCUGUUUUUUAAAAAAAAAAUGAAAGAAAAGAGGAAAAGAAACAGCAUCAAAUAAUAAUAUAAAAACCACCCCCCUUUUUUUUCUUUCUAUCCUGAAUGUAUGCUGGUGCAGUGCUUAGGGGAUUAAUCUCUUAAAAAAUAAGUGCCAUGUGAGUAGACAGGCAGUGAUUAAGGUUUUAACUGAUCAGUCUGCAUCUGACAGUGAACCAGCUAUUAUCUUAACGGAAUCAAACGAACAUUCAGAGCCUCUGCUCAGCCCCAAACAUGAAAGGAGAUGUCAUCCUCUGGCAGUUGGCAAGCCACGAGGGGAGAAAGAAAGGGAGAGAGGGAGGAGGAGGAGGGAAGGCAAAACUAGGAUGAGAAAGAACAGAUGAGUGGGAAAGGUAGAUGGGAAGAGAGAACCUUACAAUAUUGGGUUUUUGGGGUGGAGGACAGGGGCAGCAUCUGUAGGUUGGAAUGAGAGAACCAGAACGCCAAAAGGAAGAGACGCAAGAUGAUGAUGCUGGUGGUGAUUUCUUACCUACCCUUCACCAUCAGGUCUCAGGGCAGAUUGCAACAACUUAAAAAUACAAUAUUAAAAACAAUGCAUAUCACAGUGAAGAAAAUAGAGAAAUAAAUAUCUCAGGUGUCAAAGGCCAGGGUAGCGAUUUUCUCUCUGCUUCACCUGUCAACAGUUCCCAAAUGGCAAAAUCUAACAUUUUCAUUAAUGUAGCAGAGUUUAACGUAUUCUUGGUCCCCCUUUCCCCAGUGGUUUUCUAUUCUUUGAACUAUUCAUAUUUUAAAGUGGGGUAUGUGGAAAGAAAGAGUUUCCCCUUUUUCUUUUACAUUUAUGAAAGCAAAUCCUGGAGGGGAAAGCAAUCUGUAUUUGGCUUUUUGGAAUAAUGACAAUAUUCAAAAGUAACUAUUUUCUUCCUUAAAAAACAAUCAUAGAAAACAGAAGGAGCAUGAAAGUGAAAUGACAAAACAAACAAAACACACUGCGGUACUGCUCUGUAGUUAUAUGCCUUUUGAGCAGCCGUUUCAUAUUCCUAGUGAUUUACCAUUCCCUGGUGAAGUGCAGUGUGGAAAUCCCUGCCUCGGCCUUUCCCACACUCACUGGAACGCCUGCUGCCACAGCCCCCUUUAAACCAGGGAGGUCUGGCACUCUUGAACCUGAGGUCGAAGAUGAGAAGGAAGGAAAGAAUGGCCUUCAGGCCAGGGUAAGAAACCAGGGCAACAGUGCUCUUAAAAGUGAUAAAAGGGCUUUAUCUAGAAGCACUUAAACAAAACCCACAAGGGCCAAGAGCAGAGACUCUGUUGAGUAUCAGCCAUGGCCAUCGGGGAAACCGCAAAUCCUUGACACAAUAUAAAGGCACUUUCUUUAUACUGAGCAAUUGGGGAAAACAGAACUGGCUGCCGUGGGGUCAGACAGGCUGUGGCAAGCUAUCACUGGCCUCCUUACCUUGGCUGUGAGCUUCUAAUUCACACUUAGCAACAAUAGUGGAGUCUGGAGGGCAGGAGUCAAUGGGCAUUGUUAGCAGAGCUGCAGAUGUGCAGCAGAAUGGCAAGAGUCAACACAACUCCAGUUAUUACCUCUUUGUUUCCUUGGCUCCUUGUUCGCUACCCGCAUCCGUUUGUUGUCAUGUCUUGUCUUUUAUCUUAACAGCAAGCUCUUCUGUGCAGCAACUAUUUUUGUUCUGUGCCUGGGGCAAUCAAGAGCUAAGCCCCUGUUUGGGUUUCUACAGAUUGCCGAAAAAGGAGACUAUUACUUCUUGGUAAUGAUGAUGAGUAAGUCGCUAGAAGGGCCGUAACUCAGUGACAGAGCAUCUGUUCUUGCUUGCAGAAGGCCCCGGGUUCGAUCCCUGCCAUACCCAGGUAGGGCUGAGAGAGAAUCCAGCCUGAAGGAGUUGCUGACAGACAAUCUAAAUAAUACUGAGCUACAUGGACCCAUGGCCUGACUCUGUUUAAAGCAGCUUCCUAGGUUCUUAAUGACACCUUUGCCUGGGUUACCUGUGAAUUGUGGAUUUCAGUACAGUGGUACCUCAGGUUACAUACGCUUCAGGUUACAGACUCCGCUAACCCAGAAAUAAUGCUUCAGGUUAAGAACUUUGCUUCAGGAUGAGAACAGAAAUUGUGCUCCGGUGGUGCGGCGGCAGCAGGAGGCCCCAUUAGCUAAAGUGGUGCUUCAGGUUAAGAACAGUUUCAGGUUAAGAACGAACCUCCGGAAAGAAUUAAGUACUUAACCCGAGUUACCACUGUAGAUCUAUGUGAGUCUAUGGCACAGGGCCUUGAAAGAGUUCGCAUUCCAAACUUCUUUAUAUAACUCAUUUGGGGCAAAUUUAAAAUGUCAGCACUAUUUGGCCAGUUCCUUCUUUCCCAGAGUUGUGUGGAGAUUCUGUGGCAAGGCAGUAUUCUAAAACCUUCAUGUAAAUGGCAGGUGUCUCAGUUGAGAACAUGUGGGAACCCACUAGCUUAGCCAUGGAAGGUUCUGAAGUAACGACAAACCACAUUUUGUGUUCCAGACAUACUGGUAAACCAUAGUUUGUGGGAUUUUCUUUCUCUCCCACCUUUCCUAAGGGCCAAGCUACAUGUUACACUGAAUACUCUGUUUUAAAAUGUGUGUAAGACCCGCCAGUUUUCUUUUUUAAUGAAAAGCAGCUGCCCUGCCCUGAGCCAGUUCAAGACCAUGAUGCAGGAGAGCAGAUUUAACGCUGUGCAUUUUUAAAAAUCAGAAAAACCACCCUUCCAGAGCUGCUAAAUACCCCCAAGGGACCAGCUUACUGCUCAUUCAGAGACAACAGACAAAAACAAAUUCUGGGGGCAACCACUGAGACUUUAUUUCCCCCUUUAUGGGGAAAAUAGCAAUUUCAGGCAGUAGUUUUUGUAUGCCAUGUUGUGAUGUUUAUAUUAAAAGAUGGUAUAAAAAGUAGUUUUAAUAAUAAAUGAGUAAAUAAUAGUUUUGAUAGGAAAAAACAUGGGGGAAAGACCAGUGCUGUUGUUUUAGUUCAGAUCAGAGUCUGACUUGACCCUUUUUUUGUUGUUUUUUAAGAAAGAGAAGUGCAUUUAUUUUAAUAUAAAUGCAACUUAGUCCUGAAACUUCCCAGAUGCUAUCCUAAACAAUGGCAAUGUUCCAAAUGAUGCUUGGUACAGAUGUAACACCAAACCAAAAUUUGCCCCCCCCCCCCCCCAGCUUCAAACUAGUUUCAGAUCCUGAUUUGGUGGCCACUCAGAAAAUGUGGUUUGUUGGAUGAUGUUGGUUUGGGCAUCACAACAAACCAUGUUUUCACAUUAUGUCCGAAUCGCCUCUCUACUGAAGGCUCAUGGUAUGUAAAAUAGUUGAAUGUGCUAUAUCAGAGCUAUCUUUGCCUACGAUAUGCACACUCAUUUCUUUAAUCCUGCUAACCCCUCUGAGUGAACAGGUUUUGCAGGUUUCCCAAGUACUGUAAAAAUGUGCAAAACCUUUUUGAUUAAUGAUGGAUGUACACACAACGAGCAACUGAUGGCUCUAUCAUGCCACUUUAUGGGGGGGGGGGGGAGAUGAUCUGUCUCUCUUCUAAGGCUGCCUCCGCCACUCCCUAGAAAUAAUCUCCAGUGUUUGUGCUAAGGAAAAUGGUAGUCUUUCUUCCAUCACUUUGGUGGGUAACAUAAUUUUCAUUGCAGCUGCUCUGAACUUUGGGCAUCCCCAUACGCAAGCAUUAUAAAUCGCACCAUGCUGAAAAUAUUUAAGAGCUGGGAGGAUAUGAAUUUUGCUUCUGUGUAGAGUGGGAUGCCAGGCUGUUAUUCCUAACUGCUCUCCCUUCUGACUCUGUCUGCCCAGCUCUGCUAUGCCAGGAGGGUCCUCAGUACUGCCAGGGUCAUGACUGCCCCAUUACAGGGCAAGAUUUAUCAUUAGCAGGUGUGCUGCAGGAUGGUAUAUUAUCCAGGAUUAUGAACUGUAACAGGAUAAUCUCUCUAAUGUAAUUCAAGCUCUCGACAUGGCUUAUGGCUCCUUAAUGUACCUCAGACUGAAGAAUUACAAGAACAUUCUUCCCCCUCCCUACCUUGUCAGCUCCUAAAUGAUUUAGGCAAUCGCCUGAAGCCAUAUCUUGGCCUCCAGUCAUAACUCAGCACCAUUCAGUAAAUAUGAUGGGGAAGGAGUUUUCUCUGCCUUGCUCUCUUCCCCCGUCUCCACUGUCUUUGCUCUUUACCUGCCUUAAGGGGGAGCCAGGAUGUAUCCUAAUAUCAUGUACCUGCCUUGCUGUGAUUUUUGCUCAAUUUUUAUUUCGUACAUCUCGCCUUUGCAGUACUCAAGUGGCUGUCACUCAAACCUUUGAAUGAAGGUCAAAUUGUCCCCAACAUAUUGUCCUAGAAGCCUUAGCUCUGAUACAUCGUCACUAAGCAAUUGUCACUGUGCAACAGUUAAGCUAGAGACAAAGAGCACCUGUCCUUCAGUGUACUUACAGAGCUGGUGUGCCAUUUAGUUACUGGGCAUCUUAGGUAACUGGGCAUCCAAUGCGCCCAUGCCAUGUGUUCAGGGAUUAAUAAGAAAGAUUUCUGUCGGUGAUCUGGGACAUAGCAAGUAAGUCAACAGAAGAGGGAAUAAAAAAUAGGUAUACUGGCAUUUGGAAUUCACUCCAAGAAUCCUUAUUAGUGGUAAGUUAGAAAAUAAUUUCAGGUUUUCUUAUUUUGCUGUAAGCAUCUUUGGAUUUUGAGAAUAUGCUGAAUAAGCAUUAUUUAUCAUUAUCAUUAGAAUUCCACUCUUUAUCCAGUGAACUCUAGGCAAUAUAAAUGGGGCUAUCUAUCCUACAAUAACCACAUAAAGUAAGUUUGUCUGAGGGCCAGAUUAGACACGACACCAAUGGAAAUUCUCUUUCCAAUACAAAUAGCAGGGGAGGAAUCUGGAACACCCCCUUCCUUCAGAGCUGCUACUUGCUACACGAAAAGUAAGAAUGCAACUGCCAGUUGCAUGAUUAUUGUCACAUCUAAUAAUGACUCUGAGAAACAGGAUGAACGAAAUAAAACUUUUAGCAUUUACAAGAGAACAAAGCAAGCCUUCAGCUCUGUUGGUUUGAUAACACCUGGUAUAGUUUUCUCUCGUUAUGUUUGGUGAAAUGUGCACAAGCUUAUGGACCUUGGGCAGCUUAAAAUAAGCUUUUCUGGAGGUUGGAUGUCAGAAUUAAGAGUGUAUGUUUGAAAGAUUUUGUUAAACAUGUGUAGUAUUUUAUUUUGCAGCUUUGCAAGACAGAAUUAAACAUGAUUUAAGAGCAUAUAUGGUAUCUUACGAUUAUAGAAAUCUUAUUUCACAGUGUCUCAUUGCCACAGAAAGUACAGUGGUACCUCGGGUUACAUACGCUUCAGGUUACAUACUCUUCAGGUUACAGAAAUAGGACCUUGGGUUAAGAACUUUGCUUCAGAAAGAGAACAGAAAUUGUGCUCCGGUGGCGUGGCAGCAGCAGGAGGCCCCAUUAGCUAAAGUAGUGCUUCAGGUUAAGAACAGUUUCAGGUUAAGAACAGACCUCCAGAACAAAUUAAGUACUUAACCCGAGGUACCACUGUAUUUGAUAAAACAAAUCCCUGUCACCCAUUGGAGUUGGAGAUUCUGCUACUAGUUUCUGGUGAAGUUUGAAGUUCCCGUGUGCUGAUUGCCACCAAAUCACUUACACAGGUAUGGUACCAUUGAUGGGUAGGUACCCUGCGUGCUGGGUACCCACACAAGCAAACCAGCCCCCAGAGAAUGAGAGUCAAAUUCAGUGUGAGGAAUGUUCCCCCUGGCAUCCCGUCCCAUUGGAAGAUUCUGAUGGAGACCACAGUAAAGGCAAAGGAUUAUUAAAACUAACCCUGGCCCCCACACCACUGUCUCAAGAGGGCUUCCCCACUCCAAACUGGCUGUCAUAGCGUCAUAGAAUUGUAUUGAUAGAAUAAAAAUAAAUGGCUGCAAAGGCAAACUAUUUGACAAACCACAUAAUGCCCAGUUUGGCCUUCAAGCACCCAGUGAAACACAAAUAAACAGAGUGCUGGUGGAUCCCGUUUCCCUGACUGAGGGAGGUCCUGCUUUUUUGGUUGAAAGAAAAAUGGUGGGAAUCAGGGAAUUGAGAGAGGGAGAAAGAAGGAAGAGAAGGGGGAAAUGGGGAGAUGAUCUGCAAGAACUAGUUCAAAGAGAACCAAAACAUUAGAUUGAAAAAAAGGAUAAAACGUUUGCCAUUGUUUAAAGGGGGGCAGACAGGCCAAAGGAUGAGAGGUGCCUAUGAAUGUCUGAGCAGGAGCGAGAGGAGCACAGCGAAAAAGCAAAGAGUGUCCUCUUGAAUUCUAGACGCUGCGCAAGUCUUGUUGAAGCAUGACGCCCUCUCUGAUCCCCUGACUGCAGGCCGGCACACCAUCCAGUGAAAUUUAGGCAGCUGUAUUUACUGUUGCUAUUUGUUGUUGCCCUGGCAGCUCCUGGGGAUGUGAAUUUUCUGUGUCACUGACUGAGAGGAUUCUGAGCAGGUUUUCUGAUGAUGUGUUUUUUGUAAAACAAAGAGUUUUACAAGGGGGAGAGCGAAAAGAAAGGAGCCUCUGGCUGAUGCCCUUAACUCUUUAGCUGCUGCAGUGCUGUGGCUGGAAUGGAAACACCAGUUAAAUUAGCUGAGAGCCCUUUAUGGGUCCAGGCUCCAGUUGCAAACAAUAAAAAUGGUAUUAGAAGCAGAAUGAUAACCCCUAACUCUUCACCAGAAUGGUGUUUUAAAGUUCUACUCAAGAUUCUUAUUUUACCACUGUUUUUUGUUUAUGUAGGUUUGCAUCCCCAAAUCUCAGGGUUGAUUACUUUUUUUUUGUAUAAUAUUUUUAUUAAUUUUCACAAAAACAUUUCAUUAAAAAAGCAUAAAAUAAAACAUUUGGAACAACUAUAUACACAAUCAGUAUUGAAUCCACAGUAAGGGAUUACUUGAAUGACUUUAAAAAUGGAAUAGUCAAACAGGACAGUUCCAAGAAGGGAGAUGGAAACUGACUUUGUGAAAAUGCGGUUUACAGAACAGAACAGGGCCAGUCCUACUUUAGGCAGGAAGAGAUAAUCUCCUUUAUUGAAGGGUGACAGCUCAGUGGCGGGGCAUCUGCCUUGCAUGCAGAAGGACCCAGGUUCAACCCUCAGCAUCUCUCAAGUAGGGCUGGGAAUAUUUCCUGUCUGAAAUCAUGGACAGCCACUUCCAGUCAGUGUAGACAAAACUGACCUAGAUGAAGCAAUGGUCUGACUCCGUAUAAGGCAGCUUCCUGUGCUCCUGUAACUCAGAUAGUGGAUUUGGGGUAUGAUUAAAAGGCAGCAAUUUGCCAACUAUUUAGUGUUCUGUUAUAUGUUGUUGCAAUGGACACCAUUGGUAUUGUCUGCCUCAACCACCAAAACAUAACAGGACAGUACAGAGAGCUCAUAUGAGUAAUCUUCCUGGAUAUAUGCUGCACCCGGGAGCAGCUCAAAAUUAUCAGUAAUUUUAAUUUAUACAGUGGUACCUCGGGUUACAUACGCUUCAGGUUACAUACGCUUCAGGUUACACACUCCGCUAACCCAGAAAUACUGCUUCAGGUUAAAUACUUUGCUUCAGGAUAAGAACAGAAAUCGUGCUCUGGCGGCACGGCAGCAGCAGGAGGCCCCAUUAGCUAAAGUGGUGCUUCAGGUUAAGAACAGUUUCAGGUUAAGAACGGACUUCCGGAACGAAUUAAGUACUUAACCUGAGGUACCACUGUAUAUAUUUUUUAUGUAAGCCACCUAGAUAUUUUGACAACUAAAUGGUAUAUAAAUUUUACUUUUUAAAAUUAAAAAGGCUGCCAUUGAUUUAUCUUCUUUUCUUUCUCCAUUUAGUUCAAGGAAGCCAUUUAUUUCCUCCCUAGAAACAUUGAAGAACAUAAUCCAAAACCCUUCAUUACAAACCCCUUAUGUUUCAGCCAAGGUUGUGUCCAUAUGAGCUGAAUUGGUUCCAUGAACUGGUUACCUAAGCCGUCCACUUGUGGAAUGUGCCAUUCAUUGACAUGCAGUUGAGUCAGGAUCCCCACUACAGACUAUCAUAAUGACCGGUGCCAUCCCUGUGAAUAUGAGAUUAAGUAGUGAUGGCAUCAAGCAGUAUUUUGCUGCAAGGUUCCAUAGAAGCAAAGUGCCCUAAGAUUCUUUGUUCUAUUUUGUCAGCACUUCCACAGCAAAAAGUUCAGAUAGGGAAAUGGCUACUUUCACCAGUUCAAUAUCUUCAGUCAAAGGUAUAAAACCAUGCUAAAUCCAUUGUAUGCUAAAGGAUUUUAGUACAUAUUUCUGAUAGCUUUCUUUACCAGUGGUUUAUAGUUAUUUCUGUUGGACAUUGAAGAAAAUAACUUAAGAUGUUUGGCUAGCUUCUAUGUGUCUUGCCCCCAAAGGUUAUGGAAUUAUUGUUUACCAGAUCCAUUUAUUGCAAUUAAAUAUUAUUUGAUGAAUAUGGGAAGCAUCAUUGGACACGUUCCUCAUGGUUAAGCCGUCUUGCUAGAUACUCUGGGCCAAGGUUGGUAAACUUCCAUGGAGAUUCUACAACAUAUCUUUCCAUUUAAAUUGAGGCUGGCCAAUUAUUUAACCCAAAGUAUGAUGAAAUUAAACCCCUAUCAACCUUCCCUGACAGGUAAUAAUAACCCUAUUACCUGUAUCUAACUAUGAGUUCACUCCAUUAACUUCUUUCAACUCAUCACUACCCCAGCAAUUCCCCUUCAUGCACUCAUUCCACCUUUUCCUAAAGGAUAGCUCUUUUAAAGCUCAAUGCAUCAAAUCCAAUAAUUGCCAGCUCAUAUUAAUACAACCACCAAAGAAGCCACAAAAGUUCUUUUUCUUUUAGCAUUGUAUGGGAUUCCAAAACUAGUGCACUAACAACUUUUGUUGGCCAAUUAUUUGAUGGUGAGCAUAAUUUGUUCUAAAUGCCUGCUUUUUUUGAAGUGCACUCAAAAUUAUGCCCCAGAUACAGACUCACAAGGUUUCAAUUUAUUGGGUACCACACCCAGAUUGACACACAAUACUUCAAGAUGCAAUGCAACAGAGCUGAAUGCCUUGAAAAAGGUGAUAUAUAAAUAAAUUAAUAACAAAUAAACCAGUGAUUUACACACAUUGCAGUAUGGAAACAAUAACUUCUGUUCCAAAUGUGGACAGGACUAAAAUUCAGUUUCACUGGUUCCAAUGGGGAGGUAUUUAGCAUAUACUUAGCUCUCCCAUUGGAAUAAGUGGGGCUUAAAAGCUCAGGAGUUGCACAACCCUCAGUUUGGGUGUCUGAUCCAGCCCCCCAGCAAUUUUUUCUGCCCCCCAAUGAAGGGUGAAAAAUGUGGCGGGGAGGAAUAAAAAUGGUCUCCUUCCUGGUCAUGAUGUAUGGCAACAACCCAUGUUGGAGGAAUCAUUUUUGCCGAUUUUCCUCAACAACUUUUUUGUCCAGAUUUUCACUUUUUGGAACACGGCAACCCUAAAAUAUAUACCAGUAGUAAUGCUAAAUAUAAAUUAAAUAAAUGUUAAAUGUAUUUGCCUAUAGGAACUAUACACACACAAACACCCCCCCCCCACACCUCAAUCCUUUGGAAAACUAGGAUAUAUAUGUUGCACAAGGUUGUGUGUGCUGACAACGUAACUGGAAAGUUAGACUACUGUGUCUAAAAAUGGGUUUCGCUUGGCUAAAGCAUCUCGCGGUCAUUAUUGUAUUCAUACUUCCUAAACUUGAUUAUUGUAAUGCUCAUUUGCCUUGACUCCACUUGAACUAUAAUGGAAGAUCAAAGAGGUUUGAGAACAUCUUUUAAGCCAACUUCCCGGGUAAGCCAACAGCUGCUGAGGAGCAUCUGGUUCAGGACCACUUAUCCCUUAGGGAUGAUGAUCUAUGUUCUCAGAGUGAUGAUAGGACAGAAAUUGACAAAAGCCAUAGAGAGACUUGAGAGCCAGUCUAUUAUAUUUGAAAGUAACAUUUCAAGAGGACAUAUAUAGGUUAUUAUAAGUAAAUGCCAGAAGUCUCAAAGCAAACUAGAGUGCAUUUUACUACAUAUACUCAAAGGUAGUAAGAGGAAUAUAAUAUUGGCGAAUAAGUUACUGUUAUUUUUAUAAUUCAAAUCUGUAUAAAGGACAGAGUAGAUUGAACAUAGAAAUGGUGUUGCUUUAUAUGUGAAGUGGGCAUAGCUUCUAACGAGAUCUUAAAAGAAACACACUUGUCCACAGAACCAGCAUAGGUUCUGCCUAUUCCAGACCAAAAAAAGCAACACAGAAGCAAGAUAUACUAAGUCCCACAUCGUGAACAAAACAAUGAUGGUAACCUUUAGUUGCAAAGAAAGGAAGGAAGCAGCCUAAGUAGAAAAAGUAAUAAAAGUGGAUGGCCUCAGAUUCAGUGCUGGAUUUAUGUAUAAACUAAACAAGCUAUAGCUUAGGGCCUCACUCUCUUGGGGCCCCAAUUUUUUUUAAUGAAAACAACAACUGGAUGUACAUUUCCAAAAUAUAAGAUAAAAAACAAAUAAAAUAAAACCUACAUACAGCAACAGUGUUUUGUGUUGUGUAGGCUCCUAUGAUGUAGGUAAUGGGCCCCACCUGCUAGCCUGCUCCCUAAAACAUCACUGGUUUGCUCAUUUCUAUAUACUAUAGGGUGCCUACAUUCUGCAUGGACUGGUUGCAUGACAACAUGUGCAAAUGGCUUUCGAUACCUGUUAGGUCCAUAAAUUACCAUAUAGCAUAUAUUCAACACAUAAAACAGUGACAAUUUGUUGUUGACAAAGGACAGCUGGACAUAUAAAGGGCCCCAUUACCUUCAGUAGCUUAAGUCCUCAUCAAAUGUAUAUCCGGCCCUGCUCAGAUUGACUGGAUCAACGUACACAUGAGUUAUGACAAGUAGACAAAAUCUCUAGAGAGAAUAAAUUGUUCUGCUUUCAAAAAGUUCCUUGUGAAAGCACAAAAAUGUAAACUGUAGUUGGGAUUUAAUUCUAGCCAAUGUCUACAAUCUAAUGGAAACUGUAAGUAUUAGAUUUAUUGGAAAUAGCGAUAACAUAUAUGUGGAUGAGAAAGUGCCCAGAAAGUAGGGAUGGGCUGAUCGGUCGAUUUCUAGUCUAUGUAAUUUUCACAUGUGCUUAUUUGUAAAUCCAUUCCAUUCCAUUUCCACAUUAAUUUGUAGUUGUUGAUUUUUUAAGCCCAUACAUACAUUCCUUUGUGAUUUCAAAUACAUAUAUUAUUUUAUUUAUAUUCCACUUUUCCUUCAAGGAGCUCAAAGUGGUGUGCUUGUUUCCCCCUUUCCCCCCUUUUCUCCUCAUAACAGUCCUGGGAAGUAGGCUAGGCUGAAAGACAAUGAUGGGCCCAAGGUCACCUAGUGAGCUUCAUGGCUCAGCGGGAAUUUGAACUCAGGCUUUUCAGGCCCUAUUUCCAAAAGCCUAAGCACAACACCACAAAAUACUUAUUUAAAUAUGUAUUCUAUCUCAAUGUACACAUUUUAAAUGUAUUUUAUCCUAAAAUUUACAUUUUAAAUUAAUCUUGGUGUUGUUAUUUUUGAGCUGAUAACUAUUAUCACAAAAUUUAGAGAAGUGCAAAAUCUUAAGAAUAAUUACAUUACCAUCAGUGUAUUAGUCUGGGAGGUGCAAAUUAGGUUUGUUCACUUAAAAAAAUGCAGACCAAACAUCAUUUUCAUCAAUUCCUUUCAGAAAGUCCAUCGCAACAGUUAAAACGUGAAUAUUUUAAUAUUUCUUUAACAUGGUAGGAUUUGUUAAAAUGAAGCUGAAAGCUACAAUUGGGAGGGGUCAAUCCAUGAGAAAACUUGGAAGUUAUUAAACUACAAUACAGGCUCAAGUAAAAUGUGUGCCUCACAUUAGAAAAGGUACAAACAAGUGUAGAAGGAUGCUAGCAUGGCUAAAUAGUAAGGAAGGAGGCUAUGAAAACCAAGGCGGCUUUCUUUAAGAAAUGGAAGUCUGUUCUAAAUGAAGAAAAUAAAAAAGAGCAUACAGACUCUGGCAAAUCUAAAUCUAAAAUAAGUCAAGUUGAGGUACAAGCUGCUAAAGAUGUUGCCAAAGUUUACCUGGCUUGGAAUAUGAAUUUUUCCAGAUCCCUAUGCUCAGCUGCAUUAUGAAUCAAGCACUAUCAUAGUAACUCUUUCAAGCCUCUGCUACACCUGCUCUGGUCUCCUACUGCCACAAUUUUUGCUCCUCCUCCUCCUUUGUCUUCUUUUGCUUCUCUACAGUAAUCACAUUUCCUUCCAACUGAAAGGGGCUAAGAGCUUUUUUCAAAACAGACAAUGCACAUAGUAAUAAUUUAAUUUUGAAUAGCAAAGUGAUAAAGGAAGUAGUGAAGCUAGUAAGGCUGUACCCCAUGUCUUCAGGGAGUCCUGAGAAUUUCUUGCGGUACAGCAGGGCAGCAGCUGAAGAAGGAGCAAAAAGGGUUUUCUUGUGUGUGUGUUUCUUUGUGGCUGAUUAGCUGCUCUCCCUAUGCAAAUGUCAGAGGGGGCAGGGUUUCUGUUGAGGCAGGUGAUUAGCUGUGGGAGGAGCUUAUCAUAGCUUGCUGGGGAGCGGCGCACGCAGUUUGAUCCAUCUUUUAGAUUUAGGGGAGCUAGUCUCAAACGUUUGUUGGGGGAGACCUUGGCUUUUUUGGGGGGGGGAGUUAUUUGUCCUGUCUUCACGCUUUUUAUGAUGGAGGACCGCUGUAGCCACCCCCAACGACACGUUCUCAAGAUGGAGGGGGAGGGAACAGCUGCAGUCGCCUGCGGUUCCUGCGCAAUGUUUGCCAUCUUGCCAAAGGUUGCAGGCAGCUUUACCUGCAGCAAUUGCAUGUUGAUUGCCCUCUUAGAAGACAAAGUCCAGCAACUGGAGGAACGUGUAGCUACGCUCCAAAGAAUUAGAGAGCUGGAGCUCUUCUUGGAAGCAACAGAGCACACCGUCUCCAUCAAGGAGGAGACAGGGGACUCCCCUGAGAAGGAGGCUAGUUCACCAACACAGGAGCCAGAUAUAUGGAGAAACGUGACUCAAAGAAGUAGGAGGCCCAGGGUUCGCUCUGAUUGUUUAGAAAUACACAAUCGCUUUGAGGUCCUCUCCCCUAGCAUGGAAGACGAAGAGCAGACUCCAUUUGAGGAUCUCUUCCCUCAUUACAGUCGAUCAGGUAUAUGAAGACAAGCAGCGAAGUCAGUCCUCAGGGAAUGUGCAGGCGACCUUGGAACGGACAGCUCAUGGAAGAACCCCGACCAAACCUAAGAGGAGGCGUGUAGUGGUGAUAGGGGAUUCCCUACUGAGGGGAACAGAAGCAGUGAUCUGUGGGCCUGACAAGAUGUCUCAGGAAGUGUGCUGUCUCCCGGGGCUAAGAUCCAAGAUGUAACUGAACGACUGCAAGGAAUCAUAAAACCCACUGACAAAUACCCCUUCCUCUUGGUUCAUGUGGGAACCAAUGACACUGCAAGCAAUAGCCUCCAGAAGAUCAAAAGAGACUACGAGGCUCUGGGCAGGAAAUUGAAGCAAUUAAAUGCACAAAUUGUCAUCUCAUCUGUCCUCCCAGUUGAACGACGUGGCCCAAGGAGAGAGGGAAAAAUAGUGGAAGUGAACAGCUGGCUUCGCAAAUGGUGUAAACAGGAACGGUUUGGAUUCUUAGAUCACGGACUGCAGUUUCUUGAAGAUGGACUUCUGGCAAGCGAUGGGCUGCACCUCACAACGGUUGGGAGGAAUUUUUUGCCAAAAAUCUCAGAAACCUCAUCAGGAGAGCUUUAAACUGACUAAUGUGGGGGAGGGAGACAGUGCUCCUGAAGGUAGGAGUCUAUCAAUUGAUGAAGAUGAUCAUCCAAAUGUCAUAGACCAAAUGGAGCAAACAGCACGCAGACCUAGUGGUGGGAGGAAAAAUCCUUAAAUAAGAGACACGGGGAAUGAUUAAUGGACUUCAAUGUCUGUACACUAAUGCGCAAAGCAUGGGAAAUAAACAAGAUGAGCUUGAGCUCUUGGUACAGCAAACUAAAUAUGACAUAAUAGGCAUCACUGAAACCUGGUGGGAUAAGUCCCACGAUUGGAAUGUAAUAAUGGAGGGAUACAAUCUAUUUCAGAGAAACAGACCAGACAAGAAAGGAGGAGGAGUGGCGUUAUAUGUCAGGGAUGUGUAUACCUGUGAAGAGAUCCAAGAUUUAGAACCUCAAAGCCAAAGUGAGAGCAUUUGGGUCAAAAUUAAGGGAGAGAAGAAUAACAGUGACCUCAUUGUGGGAGUUUACUAUAGAUCCCCAAGCCAAACGGAGGACAUAGAUGAUGCCUUCCUGGAACAGAUGGCCAAGCAUGCAAAAGGAAGGAGAUAGUAGUAAUGGGGGACUUCAAUUACCCGGAUAUUUGUUGGAUGUCAAACUCAGCCAAGAGCAUAAGGUCAAACAGAUUCCUCACUGGCCUUGCAGACAACUUCAUUGCCCAGAAAGUGGGAGAAGCAACAAGAGGAACAGCCAUUUUAGAUCUGGUCCUAACCAAUGUUGAUGGCCUGGUUAGUGGGGUAGAAGUGGAAGGAUCAUUAGGCGCGAGUGAUCAUGCUCUUCUGAAGUUUACUAUACAGCGGAAAGAAGCAGCCAAGCAUACUAGGACUCAAUUUCUUGACUUUAAGAAAGCCGACUUCAUAAAACUUAGGGAAGUGCUGGGUGAGAUCCCAUGGACAGUAAUACUAAAAGGAAAGGGAGUUCAUGAUGGCUGGGAGUUUGUUAAGAGGGAGAUAGUAAAAGCACAACUUCAGGCAAUACCAAUGAGACGGAAACAUGGAAGGUGCCUAAAGAAGCCAGGGUGGCUAUCUAAAGAACUUUUAACUGAGUUAAGAUUUAAAAAGGAUGUGUACAAAAAAUGGAAAAGGGGGGAAACCACCAAAGAGGAAUUCAAACAAAUAGCCAGCACGUGUAGACACAAAGUCAGAAAAGCUAAAGCACAGAAUGAACUCAGGCUUGCUAGAGAGGUUAAAAGCAACAAAAAAGGCUUUUAUGGGUAUGUUCGUAGCAAAAGGAAGAACAAAGAAACAGUGGGGUCACUCAGAGGAGAAGAUGGUGAAAUGCAAACAGGGGACACAGAAAGGGCUGAACUCCUCAAUGCCUUCUUUGCCUCAGUCUUCUCGAUAAAGAAAACAAUGCCCGACCUGAAGAAUUUGGAGCAAAUGAUUCAGCAGAGGAAACACAGCCCAGAAUAACUAAGGAGAUAGUACAAGAAUACUUGGCUAGUCUAGAUGUAUUCAAGUCUCCAGGGCCAGAUGAACUGCAUCCAAGAGUAUUAAAAGAACUGGCAGAUGUGAUCUCAGAACCACUGGCAGUCAUCUAUGAGAAUUCCUGGAGAACAGGCGAAGUCCCGGCAGACUGGAGGAGGGCAAAUGUUGUCCCUAUUUUCAAAAAGGGGGAAAGAGAGGACCCACAUAAUUACCGCCCAGUCAGUCUGACAUCAAUAUCAGGGAAGAUUCUGGAGCAGAUCAGGGAGAAAUGUAAAGUAUUGCACUUCGGCAAAAAAAAUGAGAGGCACAAAUGCAAGAUGGGUGACACCUGGCUUGAGAGCAGUACAUGUGAAAAGGAUCUAGGAGUCUUGGUUGACCACAAACUUGACAUGAGCCAACAGUGUGAUGCGGCAGCUAAAAAAGCCAAUGAAAUUCUGGGCUGCAUCAAUAGGAGUAUAGCAUCUAGAUCAAGGGAAGUAAUAGUGCCACUGUAUUCUGCUCUGGUCAGACCUCACCUGGAGUACUGUGUCCAGUUCUGGGCACCACAGUUCAAGAAGGACACUGACAAACUGGAACGUGUCCAGAGAAGGGCAUCCAAAAUGGUCAAAGGCCUGGAAACGAUGCCUUAUGAGGAACGGCUAAGGGAGCUGGGCAUGUUUAGCCUGGAGAAGAGGAGGUUAAGGGGUGAUAUGAUAGCCAUGUUCAAAUAUAUAAAAGGAUGUCACAUAGAGGAGGGAGAAAGGUUGUUUUCUGCUGCUCCAGAGAAGCGGACACGGAGCGAUGGAUCCAAACUACAAGAAAGAAGAUUCCACCUAAACAUUAGGAAGAACUUCCUGACAGACAGACAGAGCUGUUCGACAGUGGAAUUUGCUGCCAAGGAGUGUGGUGGAGUCUCCUUCUUUGGAGGUCUUUAAGCAGAGGCUUGACAACCAUAUGUCAGGAGUGCUCUGAUGGUGUUUCCUGCUUGGCAGGGGGUUGGACUCGAUGGCCCUUGUGGUCUCUUCCAACUCUAUGAUUCUAUGAUUCUAGUAUAGGGAAUUGGCAAUCCAGGAACUAUGCAACCCAGGAGCAACAGGCAGACAUGUCCUGCAGAAAGGUGGGGUCACCAACCGCUCCUCUGCACUAAGCUGGGCAAUAAGGUUAGGCUUGGAUACAAUGCUAACCUCCGAUUUGGCAUGCUCAUCAUCCCUGCCCAUUGGUCUUGAUGGCUGGGACUGGUGGUGAAUUGUAGUCCAAAAGAUCUGGAGGGCACCAGGUUGGGGAAGGCUGGUUUUGCCUUACAUAUGUGAACCUCAGAACUAUGAUUAGGGCAACAAGCCAGGAUCAGAAACCAGGGUGUUGAAGGUGGCUUGUUUCCCUAAGCCAUCAUUAAGAUGAGUCACGUUUUGUCCAGAAUUGGACAUAAUGGCAAAUUGCAGUUAGAUUAAAAUGUACAAGCCUUGUGUAGAAGCAUCCACCCAGCUGGGAACCCCAAAUGUGCAGGGGUCCUGACUACAUGAAAGCCCAUAUGCAAACAGCUGUUCAAAUGCAGACUUCCUCAGUAAAUAUCUGCACCAAAACAUGUACAUGGGGGGGGCAGCAGUGUGCCCCCAUUUCCUGAUAAUCACAUGGAACAGCCAGUGUGGUGUAGUAGUUAAGAGCAGUAGACUCGUAAUCUGGUGAACCGGCUUUGCGUCUCCGCUCCUCCCCAUGCAGCUGCUGGGUGACCUUGGGCUAGUCACACUUCUUUGAAGUCUCUCAGCCCCACUCACCUCACAGAGUGUUUGUUGUGGAGGAGGAAGGGAAAGGAGAAUGUUAGCUGCUUUGAGACUCCUUCGGGUAGUGAUAAAGCGGGAUAUCAAAUCCAAACUCCUCUUCUUCUUCUUCCGUGUCUUCAUACCAGUCCUCUGCAUUUUUGAAAUGCUCUUCAAGGGCAGCCCCACCUUUACUGUAUUACGGUAAUCUAGCCAGAUGUUUAACUAGAGCAUGGAUAAGUGUGGCCAGCAUCUUCUCUCCAGAAACCCCAAAUCUGCUGCUAAACCCCAAAUCUGCUGCAGAAUUAUGCUUCUUUCUGGAGUGUUGUGACAAUGAGUCCAGUUUGGUUGGCAGAAGGAAGGGUGGGGGAAUCUGUUACAGAGUGCCUAGGAAUAGGAAGGAUUUAAUUACUGUUGGCAGCAGAAGGGGGAUCAGAGACAGGAGAGCUGGGCAGGCGGGAACAUCCAGGUCAGGAAGCUGAGUGGGAAGAAGGCCCAAGAGACAGAAGGGAAGAAGGAAAGGGAAACGAGUCGGCGGCAGUCUGAGAAGCAGGGAGGCAGAGAGGACGGGCGGAGGAGGCAGAGGCUUAAUUGGAAGUUGGUGGAAAAGGGAGCGGUGGAAAAACUAGGGCCUAAGGAGAGGUGUGUCCUGUUGGCAUGAAGGAAACUGACAGGCAAGCAAGACUGCUUGAUGAACUCUGGGCCAGGAAACCAACUGAGCAGGAGGGCAAGAGGCCAGUUUGGGAGGGCUUGGAUUUCAAACACUGGUUUGGGUGAAGUGGCCAGAUUCCAGGCUGCAGGUCUCUGGUUCAAAGCUCCAGUAAAAGCUGCAGAUUAGCCUUUUCCUUGUGAAGCCCCGGCAUGAACUUCUACCUAUUUGAAGGUGGCAAAGAAGCCUCACGCUUACAGCUCUUUCUUCCAGCAGGGCAAGACAGAUGAUAGAAGCCAGCUGGCUUGGUAUAUUACUAACAAAGCAAAUGGCUGGGUUUCAGCUGGCUUAGGCUGAGAGAUCCCACACAGGAGAUCUGAUUUCCCCUCCCCUCAGGCACUUAUGGUGGUUGGUUGCUGUGUUUUGACUCCGCGUCUCCUUUUAGCUCUCUUGCUAAUGUUCUGCCUCAUUCCCUGGAUGCCAUUCAGUUUGCUGCUCGCCUACUUCCUAUUGGGUUGUUAAGAGAAUCUGAGACAUUUGUCAUCAUCACUUGCUUCCUUUCCCUGCUCCAGUUCUGGGAUUUCCCCAGGUAAGGAACUCCCUCUGCUAGCUUAGAACGAAUUCUAGCCAAGAGGGGAGCAGCCUUGGUCUAAAGAUGGCCCUAGACGACGCUGCCAAUAAGCUGGAGGGCAUGCUGCGGACCCAUGGGAGGGACCAGAGGAAUUAUCAGCCUGUCCACUUGGCUUCUGAAGGAGUCGGGAGCUGUCUGAAAAUAGACAGCACAUUGGGGGAGAUCGGCGGUAGGGCCUGUGGGGAAGGUGGCAGCCCAAGAGCAGGCAAACAGGCUGCGUAUAGAGUUCAUCUCUCUGGAGAUCUGGGUUUCUUCUUUCUCAAUGCUUUCACUCAUUUCCUUGAGCUGCAGUCAGAUAUUUAUUUAACCUUGCAACUGAACUGCACCGAGAAUGCCAAGUGCUGGAGCUGCAAGUGCUCUCACUGAUGCUGUGUUUACAUAUCCAGGCAUAAAUUUGUUACUCUCUCACAUGUGUGCACAUAUGCGCAUAUGCGCGCAUGCACACACACACACACACACACACACACUUAGAAAUUCCAUUCACACGCCCCUGCAGAAUAUACACCUUGGCACAACAGCAUAUGCACACAGGAACAGACCGUUAAAAUCAGCAAUCAUUGCGAUUUAACCACAAAAUACCUUCACAGUGGGACCUGUGUAUUAUAUACAUGCAUGCAAGAGUUCCAGUGCAAUUCAUAUACCCACCUGCCUAGUGUUUACAACUGGCUAACAUUUUUAGAAUGAAAAUAUUAAUUUACAGCAAAUUGAUAAGCCUUACAUUUUUUUUAAUGACAAAAUAUCCAGUUCCAACAGUUCACUAGUAGAUCUUUUUUUAAAAAACACACACCAUAUUUUUAUUAAAGAUUUCUUGGUUUACAAAAGUAUGUGCAAUGUCUCUUUUUUCAAGUUACAUUUUCUACAAAUCAGUUUCGUUUGUUGAGACAUUAGUGUUACAUUAGGAAGAAAAGGGGGAAAGAGGUGGAGGGGGGGAUGGUGAGUGUCAGGAGUGCAUGCAGGAGCCAGGCCCUGUGACCAAUAGGACUUUGCAGGACUGGGGCCUUCCUAAGUUUGUUCUGAAGAGGCAAGGCCGCACAGGUGAGGCCAAUUGGUAACUCACAGCACCUGGUGGCAAGAGCUGGGAAGGGAUAUAAGGUCAGCAUUUGCCUUCUCCUCUUUGCCACAGCAACACGUUCCCUGCCUUGCUGCGUUUGGCUCCUUGACUCCUUGCUUCUUGAUCCUUGAUCCUCAGACCCUUGGCUUCUUGACUCCCGGCUCUCUUGACCCUCGGACUUUGGCUUCCUGACUCCUGGCUUCUGGACUCCCGUUCCUGCUCCCACCUCGCCGUCUUGCCCCCGGUCCCGACGUCCCCAGCCAGGACUUCGAUCGCCUGUGAACUGGACCAUGACAGUGAGUGGGGUUGGGGUCGGAUGGCAAUGCUUCUGUUCUGCUUAAUGUAUGUGUAGGGUUUUGUGUCAGUGUCGCUUGUGCAGGUUCUCUUUACUAUUUGCUUGUGUUCCUUUGGUGGUGAGAGAGGUUGGGGUUGGUCUAGGGUGUGGCUGUUUGUUUGUUUGUGAUUGGCUGUGGUGAACUUUGUUUUCAUCUGUGAGUGGGGUGGGUGGGUGUUUUUGUAUCAGGUUAGCCAUAUUGAUUUGUAUGCUGUUGGCAGAUUCUUGUCGUCAUUGUGUUGGGCUGUGUAUGUGAUAUAGGGAAGCCAUACUGGGGUGAAGGCGUCUUCUAUUUGUUCCUGUGUCAGUUUCAGUUUAUUGGUUAGCUUUUCUAAUAAGGCUGUUUCCCAUGCUAUUUGAUACCAUUGGUCCAUGCUGACUCCUGACAGGUCUCUCCAGUGUCUGGCUAUGAUGUUUCUGGCUGCUGAGAGUAGGUGGGUUAUGAACUCUUUACAAUGUGAGCGGGCAUUAUUCUCUUGGAAGAUGUUUAGUAGGGGCUAGUAGAUCUUAAAGACAUGGGGAACUUGCAGGGGAGAAGACUGUCUCUGAGAUACUCAGGAGAAUUCAGACCAUAGAGAGUUUCAAAGGUCACAAUUAGCAUAUUUAAAUUAAGGCUGGACUCUUUAAACUUAAGCUAGUAUAGGCAACAAACACACAUUUAAAACACAUCCCCCCAAAAGAAUCUUGGGAAUGGUAGUUUACUCCUCAGGGAGCUAUGAUUCCUAGCAUCAUAGCCAAUGGGGUUAAUCCGGGGUGUGAUUAUUGCUAAUUGAAAAUGGUUCUCAAGAUUCUUUGGGGUGGGGAGAUGCAUUCUUAAGUGUCUGGUGUGUAACCCUAUAACAAAUGCAGAUGUUUUAGAAUGGGUGUGAUGUGCUCACCAACAGAUAGCAUCACUGUGCACUAGCCGUACUUUCCUAGUCACUUCAAAGUGCAGCCCCACACAGACUGCAUUACAGUAGACUUUAAGGCACAAAUGAUGGUAGCCGUGUAAUUUUCAGCAGUGGGCAUAGUUGGUGAGAUUGGUCAAAGGCUUUCCUGACCACAGUCAAAACCUAAGAUUACAGGGACAAUGCUGAGUCCAGGUGAGUUGCAAUGCUAGGGUUAUGAACCUGCUCCCUUAACUAGAGCCUAAAGGGAGCUCUGUUUUUGACAGUCAUUCCCCUAGCAUUCUGGUCCUCUACCAUCAUCCCCAGCUAUUACUGACAGAUGGGCUGAUGUGCAGAUUAUACUAGUUAUUUGUGCAGCUAGAUAGAAAUCAUGUGAAACAACUAGUAUAGAUAUAUCCAGAGUACAUGCCUUUUAUAAGCAAUAUGGGGUGGGGGAAGCCACCACUGAAUCGCUUGAACUUUGUCCUGCACAUCGCUCUAUAAAACCCCAUGAAACAUUAGGAUCAAAAUGUGAUUUUCCUGGAAGGAGACCCAUCUCUUACUAAAUCAACCAGACUGUUCUCUGAGGCAAAGGAGUCAGCGCUGACUCACGAGGGAAAGUGUCUUGCACAAUCAUGACAAUACUUCCCUUAGCAGCAAGAACUUGCAUUUGACUUCAAACAGCUUUCACCUGCAAGAGCCAAAAACAAACAAUUGAGAUUUACUGGGUGGAGGCCACCAGAACAUUCUCCACCCUGUCUGAUGCUCUAAGAAAAAAAUCUCCCCUCAAAGAGCUCAGAAGAGCCAGAUGUAAACAGCAGCUUCCAAUAACUAGGGAGCGUAGAGUGCCAGUCCAGAAGAAGCUGUUCAGGACUUUAUUUGACAGCUCCCCAAGACCAAAAAAAGAAAAAAACAGACUAGAAGAUGGCGCCACCUGAUGACUUCUACUUUCAGUAGGGAUGAAAGGAUUUGUCAUUUUCAGUUCUCAGUUCCUCAUUUUUCCAAUCUUAAAAUCAGUCUUCCACAUUUCUACAGCAAUUUCUCAUACACACACAAACACACACACCCCGUCAUGAAAAUUAUUCAGCAUUUUAGUGCAAAUUUCUCCUAAUACACAUUUUGUGUGCAGUUUGGACUAAUGCAUGCAUUUUGCAAGCAAUGUCUCUUAAUAUGAUAUUUUUACUAAGAUAUGCAUUUUUGAAAAUAUUUGUUAAACUGCAUUGCAAAUUUAAGAUAUGUGCAAUUUUUGAAGGGUGGCUGUAUUGGUUCUUGCAUUGCUUUAGAAAGUGCCAAUUUGAUAUAGGUAAAGGUAAGGAACCCCUGACCAGUCCAGUCAUGCCCGACUCUGGGGUUGCGGCGCUCAUCUCGCUUUAUUGGCCGAGGGAGCCGGCGUACAGCUUCUGGGUCACGUGGCCAGCAUGACAAAGCCACUUCUGGUGAACUAGAGCAGCGCACGGAAACACUGUUUACCUUCCCGCCGGAGCGGUACCUAUUUAUCUACUUGCACUUUGAGGUGCUUUCGAACUGCUAGGUUGGCAGGAGCAGGGACCGAGCAACGGGAGCUCACCCCGUCGCGGGGAUUCGAACUGCCGACCUUCUGAUCGGCAAGUCCUAGGCUCUGUGGUUUAACUCACAGCGCCACCCGUGUCCCGCCAAUUUGAUAUAUCCGGCUUUAAAUGUGAACCGACUAAAAUAUCUCUGCCUCCCCUAAUCUUCAGUCACAGUUUUGGUGUACAUUUCACAGUUGUGAUAUUCAUGAAACACAGGCAACUCCCAUUUUAGGCACAACCAAUAUGUGUGCAAUCGCACACACAUGCACAGUGCCGAACGUGGAAGUGACCUGGAAAUGUCAUAAAUGGGGGGUUGCCCAUAUUUACAAAAUGAAAUUCAUCAUUUGGCCAAUUUGCCAAUUUGGAUACAAUAAAGGAACUGGAGGCCCCUCGACUCCUCGGGUCCAGUAUUGGACCACUUCAACCGGCUAUCCCCAGCCAAUGUGGACAGACUCCUCCGAGCUGGAAAGCCCACCACCUGUCCUCUCGACCCGUGCCCGUCUUGGCUGAUUAGAGCGUGUCCAGACGAGGUGUGGGCCCUCCUGGGGGAUAUCAUCAUUUUGUCCCUUGGCACGGGACAAUCCCAGGGGAACUGAAGGAGGCAGUGGUGUGCCCGCUCUUAAAGAAAACAUCAUUAGAUCCUUUAGAUCUAUCCAAUUACCGCCCGGUUUCGAAUCUUCCGUUCCUGGGUAAGGUGAUUGAGAGAGCGGUUGCUGAACAGCUUGGUGGGUUUCUGGAUGAAACAUCGGCUCUGGAUCCAUUCCAGUCCGGCUUCCGCGCUGGUCAUGGGACCAAGAUGGCUCUGGUUGCCCUAACAGGUGAUCUUCGUAGACAGCUGGAUCGAGGUGGGUCGGGGCUGCUGAUUCUUCUAGAUCUGUCAGCAGCUUUCGCCAUGGUCGAUCACGAACUUCUGGACCACCGCCUUGCCGACGUGGGGAUCCAGGGCACAGUCCUUCAAUGGCUGCACUCGUUUCUCUCUGGUUGGGGACAGAGGGUGGCGCUUGGGGGGGGGGGAAUUGUCAUCGCCCCACUCCUUGGUGUGUGGAGUACCUCAGGGUGCGAUACUCUCCCCGAUGCUUUUCAACAUCAUUAUGCGCCUCCUCGCCCAGCUUGUCCGGAGUUUUGGGCUGGGUUACCAUCAGUAUGCUGAUGACACCCAACUCUAUCUGUUGAUGGAUGGCCAUCCUGACUCGGCCCCAGACACACUGACCAGAUGUUUGGAAGCUGUGGCUGGAUGGUUACGUGGGAGCCGGUUGAAGCUAAAUCCUUCGAAGACAGAGGUCCUGUGGCUGGGAUGGGACGAUAUGGGAUUGGGGGGGCAACUCCCAUCUCUUGCGGGGGCGCAAUUAGUGCCAGCACCGUCCGUUAAGAGUUUGGGUGUAAUCUUCGACACCUCCCUUUCCAUGGAGGCGCAGAUUGCAGCUACAACAAAGGCGGCAUUUUUCCAUCUGCACCAAGCUAAGCAGUUGGCUCCUUACCUCUCUCGCCCUGACCUAGCCACUGUGAUCCACACGACGGUCACCUCCAGACUGGAUUAUUGUAACUCGCUCUACGUGGGGCUGCCCUUGAGACUGACCCAGAAACUCCAGUGGGUGCAGAAUGCUGCAGCGAGCCAGGGCUUUUUCGGCCGUGGCUCCGAUCUGGUGGAACACUCUGUCACAAGAGACCAGGGCCCUGCGGGAUUUGACAUCUUUCCGCAGGGCCUGCAAGACAGAGCUGUUCCACCAGGCCUUUGGCCAGGGCACAGCCUGACUCCCUCCCUCGGCAAUCUUCGCGGAGCUCUGGCCCAAUGCUUGCCAGUGGCUUGAAUUAAUUAAUUUUAUAAUGAAUGAUUUUAGAGUGUUGUUUGUGCUGUACUUUUGUACUGUUUUAUUGUUGUUAGCCGCCCUGAGCCCGGCUUCGGCUGGGGAGGACGGGAUAUAAAUAAAAUUUAUUAUUAUUAUUAUUAUUAUUAUUAUUUAUUAUCAGACAACUACCAGACAUUACACACUGUGAACUGAACCGAACAUGGCAUUUUGGACAGAUUUAGGGGCCAACUCUGUGGCUAUGUGUGUUUUUUGUGUUGACUUUUCUCCUUUUCUGUUGCUGCCUUCAAAUGCUAGGCGUGGCCAUUUACCUGAAACACUCACCCAGCUGGGUCUUCUUCUGCCCCUGUAACAACCAUACAACAUGAACAAUGGUUGAUUGCAGGACUUGGGAACCAAUAUGACACCCAGCUAAUAGCACCCAAUGAGCCAGAUGUUACACACAAAGAAACAGUGGGAGCCAGUAAAAGUUGGCAACCCCAUUGCCAAUGCAGAAGCCUUGGAAGGAACCUCAGCACAGGAGCCUGAUAAGGGGGGGAAAGGCUGGCAACCCUUAUUUCUGACCUUGUUUCAGCCACAAAAGGCAUGCUACGUUGUAUGUUAAUUCAUGCCCUUCUAGGGUAUGUGAAUUCUUAUUAAUAAUAAUAAUAAUAAUAAUAAAUUUUAUUUAUAUCCCGCCCUCCCCAGCCGAAGCUGGGCUCAGGGCGGCUAACAACAAUUGAAAUAAUCUAACAUUCUAAAAACAUUCAUUAUAAAAUUAAUUAAAAUCAAAUUAAAAUCAAAUUGAUGGCAACCAUUAAGCAAAAUUCUGUGCAGAUUGCCAGGGGAGGGGGUCAGGCUGCGCCCUGACCAAAGGCCUGGUGGAACAGCUCUGUCUUGCAGGCCCUGUGGAAAGAUGUCAGGUCCCGCAGGGCCCUAGUCUCUUGUGACAGAGCGUUCCACCAGAUUGGAGCCGCGGCCGAGAAAGCCCUGGCUCUAGUUGAGGCCAGCCUAACCUCUCUGUGGCCUGGGAUCUUCAGGAUGUUUUCAUUUGCAGACCGUAAAUUUCUCUGUGGGACAUACCAGGAGAGGCGGUCCCGUAGGUACGAGGGUCCUAGGCCGUAUAGGGCUUUAAAGGUUAAAACCAGCACAUUAAACCUGAUCCUGUACUCCACCAGGAGCCAGUGCAGCUGGUAUAGUACCGGAUGAAUAUGAUCUCGCAGCGAAGACCCCAUAAGGAGUCUCGCCGCGGCAUUCUGCACCCGCUGGAGUUUCUGGGUCAGUCUCAAGGGCAGCCCCACGUAGAGCGAGUUACAAUAGUCAAGCCUGGAGGUGACCGUCGCGUGGAUCACAAUGGCUAGGUCAUUAAGGAGGAUGUCCCUUUCUUUUCCCAUUGAGUUUUUCAUUAUCAGUUCCAAAUUUGCCUUUUGAGACAGUUCUAGGCAUAGCCUUCUCAAAAUGUAAUCAAAUUAACCCCAAAAAGGCUUAACAUAUUGCAUUAUGGGUAGUCCAUGUUCAUCAAGCUCCAAAUACCCUUAAUAGACGUAUUAUUUAGACAAUAUUGAUAUGGUAUGGUACCCAACCCUAUCCUUUGUUAGUUCCAGCAUCACCUCUACCUUGGAGUUGGGUGGCUUUCAGUGGCAAAGUAGUGGACAUAAGUCCCAGUUUUUUCUCUUCACUAGAAUAAGCAUAUAGUCUAUGCAGUUGAAGCUACUAUGCCAUGUUACAAGUUCACAGCUGGCAAUAAAUACCAAUGACCCUGACCGACAGGGUUGGAAGAGGCCUUGAAGGACAGCUAGUCCCCUGUUCAGUGCAGGACAGCCACAGGUGAAGCAUUCGUCAGUACUCUGCCUGUACAUCUCCCCCCACAGGGUUUCAGUUUGUAAAUAUGAACCAAACAUCCCGUAUGGUAAGUUCAUAUUUCCUCACAGUGUAGAAUCGGUGAAAAAGCUGAGAAAGAGAGGGAAAGAGUCCUCCACUUUUAAGCACUUUUUGGAAUUUAUGGCACAGGAAGGUUUCAAGCUCUGGACUGUAUAAGCUAUUGAAUUGUGUAGUAACUAUAUGCAAACUUAGUCAAAUGUAAGCCAUAUGUAAGGACUUGGGUUAGGGCAGAGAGGAGUUCUCUGCUAAAUUCCAAUGUUAGCUGCAAAACCAUUUUACUCACCAGUUGCCAUUUCAGCACUGCAAGUAAAUAAUUAUUAUUCCGUUUAAAGCCACAUUGUGACUCAGUUGCAUUCCCUGGUUCCCCCAAGUAACUGUGUACUGUUUCGGGAUGAAGGAGAAAUUAGAUUCAGUUUGCAUUUAAAUAAGAACUUCAAAAUCCGCCCCUCACCAAAUUUUGUAGUUCAGUUCUCCAGCCAAGUAAUCUGCACAGAAAUGCGUAUGUUGGUGUAAAGCAGGGGUAGGUAUAUCUAUACCAGUUGUUUCACAUGAUUUCUUUCUAGCUGCACAAAUAACUAGUAUAAUCUGCACAUCAUCCCAUCUGUCAGUAAUAGCUGGAGAUGAUGGUAGAGGACCAGACUGCCUGUCAAAAACAGGGCUCCCACUGUAAAGCAUGCGUAUAGUUGCAUAUAUCAUACAAAAAUGUAUUAUAAUAGGAAAAUUUGCUUGCAAAAAAAUUGUGGAUUAGGCAAAAGCGCAUAUACAUAUCUGUGUAUUAGGAUAAAUUGGUGCUAAGGUACUGAUUAAUUUUUAUGAGGACUUAAAAAUAGUAAUCAUAAACUGAUGUGGAAAUGUUGUGAACCAAAUUCAAGAUUGGGAAAAUGAGGAAUGAAAAUUGACAUAUUUGCCCAUCUCUAGUAAUGAUACAGUGAAAAAACCUCUGUGACAUGCAGCAAAUUCUGGAUCAGCAAUCCUGAGUAUCCCAUCUCUGCAGUUAUAUGGGUGGGUUCAUACAUGUUUGUGCAACUUGUGAAUUGAGACACGUGUAGGCUUGGUCACAGGCUCCCGUAGGCUUAAGCCAGACUCCGCACUUCAAGAAAGGAGGGAAACAACUUUGAUACAUGCAACUGAAGUAAGCAAAAUUCUAUCCAGGUGUUAAAAAUUUCUUAAAUAGGGAAGGAAUGUUAUUUCCCUUGGGUCCCAGAGCAACAAUAGUGCUUUUAUUUUAACUGCUUUCUGUACCAAGCGGCUGGAUUUUUUCUUUUUUUUUAAAAAAAAGAAAAGCGAUUAUUAUUAUGGAGACUUUUAACAAUCCAUUUGAAGUCAGAGGUGGUCACUUUACAAAGUGUCUGUAGAGAGCAACAUCUGGGGCGAAUGCCUGGUGUGUGAUUAACCCGUGAUUUGCCACAGGGCAAGACUGUACAGAACUGGGUUGCUUAAAUGCUGAGUCCAGCAAAAUAGAUAAGUGGAGCAGAGAAAUGUGAACAUUCUAAUUCAAGGAUCACCAGGCAAAAAGUGGCAUUUCUUCUGAAGGCAACCAGAUUCAUGGCUCCAAGGCGUCCUGAACUUGCCCAGAGGUACUUAUCUCAAGGGGUGAGAGUUGGCACCUCUACCAAUUCCUGGAGGGCAGGAUCUGGGAAUUCCUGGAGGGCAGGAUCUGGGAACAGAUGUACAGAUGUGGCGUGAAGUUCCUCAGAGUGGGGGGAAAUGGGAUAAAAUAUAACAAUGAAAUAUAUGAUAUAUAAAUAUGUAUUUGCACACUGGAAAAUGUUGGGUCACAUAGCACCAUAAUCAAUGCCUGCGAUUCCCUGCUUGAUUUGCCUGUCUCCCAUUAUGAGAGUUAUUCCUAACCAUAAAGUUGGCCAGACCUGUUGUCAGCAGACCUCCCCAAGUGACCUCUAAAAAGCAAGCGUGGAAUGCGGUCUCCAUCGCCCAUUGAAAAGAUUUCUUUUUCUUUUAAGGGGGAAAGGAAGGCUGAGUGGGGCUGAGGGUUGGUGGUAUUUUUCCUGGUGUGGUCCUUGAGGGAAAGGAGUGAGGUCACCAGACUGUUUCUUGGCUCUUGCACCACACCCACAGCCAUGGGAGCUCCUCUUGGCGCAAGGAGCUGGGAUUAAGACACUCUUGUACCCAGCACCACGCCUCUAGGCAAGCUGGCUCUGCUGAGUUUAUGGUUCUUUACCUCCAGAAUGGCCUUCCAGGAAACCUGCUUUCCAGAUUCGGUAUUUCUGGGAACGCAGUCACAUGAUAACAGGCAGUGGAGACUUGUUAAUAGGUCCUUGCUCCAAUUUGCUAACCUGUUCGCUGCCAAAGCUGUUUGACUCCUGUAGAAGGUGAGCUAUGAAUAUGCAGCUCAGUAGCCUGUAGAGAGGGGAGGGUGCCGUUUCCCUGAGACGGUGGGGGAAAGGGACCAAACUGGCAGAGUGCGCAGAAAGCCACGUCUGAGGUUUUUCUCUGUAUGGGUUAAGCUGCGAGCCAAGGGAGCUGUGUUCUAAGGUCAACAAAAGCUGCACCUGCCCACAGGCUCCUGUGUGCAGCAGCACAAUCAAUGGCUUGUUCCUUUCAUAAGUGCCGUUGGAGCGCGAUGCCCAGGCCCUGAGCCAACCUGCUGAUCACAUAAAAUAUUAUUUGUGUUAAAAAAAUUCCAGUAAUUGACUAUGCACCGUUUUUUCCCCGAGCCCUCUGCCAACAGCAGUAAAAUCAAAAUCCGUCCCAGGUUAUUUUCAUCAUGCAAAUUCCCAUUUCUGUAAACAGGGCUAAUAAGUGGCAAAGCCUGCUGCUCCCAGCAGCUGGGAGGCUCUCUGCCAGGCUAGCGAACAGCACAUGGCAGAAAGCUCAUUGAAUCACACACGAGAGUGGCAUGAAUGGAGCCGGCAGAGAGGAGAUGGGAUGUAGAGGAGGAGGAGGAGCCAGGAUGUAUCACACUGCUGUGUUUUACAGGCUACAAAGUUUCUGUUAGGGCUGCAUAGAGAACACAAUGCAUACAGCAGGGAUUCUAGACCUCAUGACUGAAGAGAAAAGACUGAAUAUAGACUUGAGCUUAGUUCAAAUGAAAAUGUGCUGCUGAGAGAUCAAUGUUUAAUCUUGCAACAUGCAUUUGUGUGAAAUGCAGAGUCGGGGUUGCAAAUGCUAUUGGCUUGGUAUAGGGCUUCUGACUAUGUUGGCUGGAGUCCUGCUGUGGGGUUGUGAUACCACAGGGUCUGUUGUUUGCUGAUCAUGUUAUGCUACCUUUUUUUUUAAAUGUGCAUUUCAUAUGUGGAACUCAUUGCACCCAUAUCCCUAAAUUUAAUUUAAGAGAAAAUAUUAGUCAGAUUGAAGAAAGAUUUAAGCAGUUCAUAAUAGACAAUGAUGUUUCAUCACUUGGGAUAUAUACAAGCAAGACAGUAUUUGAGCCCACUCAUGGUAUUCUGUUCAAACUAUUCAUUUUAUCCCCUCCAGGGCUGAACUUGGGAAAAACCACUUUUGAGACUUUGCACCAAAAGCCGGCAAGGCACAGCCCUGGUUGGCUUGCACCUGUGAUGUCACUAACACACUAACACACUGCAUCUCAGCUAAAUUUUACAACUCUUUAAAAUCUGAUAGUCUUCCUCCAUUCCCCUCAAAAAAGUAUGUAAAAUUUAAAAAAUUAACAUUUAAAUUAAUGAACACAUAUUGUAUGUGUGGUGUUUUUUUGUUUUUUGUUUUAAAAAGUCAGAGCCUGCCUGAAGCAUAGUGGGAGAGAUAAAACUGAUAAAUGAUCCAGCGUUUGAUUUGCUGGUAUGUACAUCUGUCAUUUACAUUAUGAAAGCUGUAGGAAACUGGCCUGAGCCCGGGGUAGAAAAAUCCGCCAUGACUUCUGUUUUAAUGUUAACAUCUGUGUACACCCUCAGGUUCAAAAGAUAUUAAGGAAUAGCAGUAUAGAGUUUGUAUCACCACAGUGGUAUUAAGAUUAAGGCAGCCAGACACAUUAAAAAAAAAAAAUUACAGUAGUAGUCCAAACUUCUCCCAACAUGCUCAGGGUGAUGUUCAUGGUUCUUCUUGACAGCUAUUUUAUUAUCACAACAGCCGUGUGAGGUAGGUUAGGCAGAAAUAUAGUGAAUGGCCCACGGUUUUGAAGGAGGGAAAGCGGGAGAGUAAAGAGGACAUAGAAGAAAGGUUUAUAAAAUUAUGCAAGGUGUGGAGAAAAAGAGGCUUUUCUUGCUCUCUCGUAACACUGGAACCCAGGACCAUUCAGUGGAGCUGAAUUAUAGGAGAUUCAAGACAAACAAGAGGAUGUACUUUGUCAUAUGCAGAUACAUAGACUGUGCAAUUCAUUAAUCAUGAGAUAUAGGGUUGGUCACCAACCUAGACAGCUUUAAAAGAGGUUUAGACAAACGUGUGGAAACAAUGAGUUUCCACCGAGCUUCAAAACAAAAUACUUGACUUUAGCUCAGGAUUGAGUUUCCUGCCUGUGGUCUCCCAUGCAAGUGCUCUGAAAUGGAUCGCUCCAAAACCAUUUUCAGUAUAAAUUAAUCUUGUUGUGUUAGCAAGCAACACUAACAAUAGUAGCUUCACUAUGUUCCUUCAUUGCUCCUUCAUGUGUAGGAAUAAAGCAGGUGAAAUGUAGAUGAACAAUUAUCUCCAGUACCAAUGGAAAAAAACACUGAGCUAAGAGGCAACAACUAGCUGAAGCAGAAACAACCAGCUGAAUUUACAAAGUUAAUUUUUAACUCAAUUAAAUGAAGCAUUAAACACUAGAGUAGAAACUUUUGGUAUCACAAUCUGUUUUCUUUCAAUAUCUAUGACACCCUUCUGAAGUGGCCACGUGAUCUAAUUUACAGAGGAUAGUCUUCUCUUUGAAGAGCUGUCACAGUGCAGUCCUAUAUUUGAAGGCUUUUGUUUCAGGGCUGGGGAAUCUCGGAUGCAGUGCUACUCCAAGGUAUCAUCGGCAAUCAAAAUGGCGGCUCUUGGACCUUUUCAAAGCGGGGCAAAGGGCAAGUGGCCCAAGGAUGCCAUGCGUGGAUGCUGACUUCCUUGAGAUCACUAUGCAGUCUCCAAAUAUAGCUUAUAUUAUUGGUCAUUUGCUUGGCAAGCCAAGGGUGGCAGGGCUCUUGGUGGUAUCUACGGCUGGCUGCUACUGAUAUGGCAAUUCCUAUGUGGCUUUUAGUUUUACGCACAUUAGCAGACAUGUUAUUUUAUCCCCUUAAUCUGAGGCAAGGAGCAGGGGGUCUUACUCAGAAGUCACGUCUGUAUCAGAAACAAGUCAAGAGAAAGCUGCACAUAUGGCAAAGUAAUAUGGUUUUGAUUGUGACAUAUUGUAUAAAAUGUUCGGCACACACGUAUUUUAAAUAUAUUAGACCGUAUGAUCAUAGCUUGCGUUCAGGCUCCCUUUCAUCUCUAUGUGAUUUACAAGCUUCACAUAUGUGCACAGAUCUCUUUGCUUACCAUGAAACAGCAGCUACUUCUGGGUUGGUGCUCGCCCACUUUUAGCAUUGCCCUGCAACAUGGCAAAGUGCCGUAUCUGGAAAACUGGAAACUUUGCCCGUAUGGGAGAUGGAUCUCUGCCAGCACCUGAAGCCUGGCAGAUCAAUCAAGAUAUGGAAUAACUUAACACAAAGAAAGGGGCGGGGGGAGAUGAAUUUGAAGUGAAGCCCAAGUAGUAGCAAAAUAACUCAGUGCUUAUUCUUUCGAGUUGUAUUGUUUUUAGUGCUUUUAUACUUCCCUUGUCAAUUUUAGUUUAGUUUUGUAAACCACAGUGUGUAUUGGAUUGUGGAAAGGUGUAAGUUUUAGAAAUAAAACAAAUACAUAAGUUGUCAUUUAAGCAGGCAAACAGCCUUGGGGAACCUUAGGUUGCAUUCAUCUUAGUUGUACUAAAGGAUGAGGAAAAUGCUGUCCUAGCCAACAGUGUAUUUUCAAUAAUGUUUUUGACAAGGUCUGUUACUAAAGGGUCAGAAGGAACAUAGCGAUAAAAGCAGAAUACAUUUCCAUGGAGUCACCUUGCAACAGGUUCAACAUGUAGAAGACCGAGAUGUGGCUCAAAGUGUUAGUAGUCACGAUGGAAAGAGAUAAACAACAGGAUACCCAGGGCUCUGUGCAAGGGCUUGUGGUUAGCAUAUUAAUUACCUGUGGAAGGUUACUGAACACUGAUGUGGCAACAUUUUCAGAUGAUAACACAAUUUUCAAGAUAGUUAAAUCUGAUACAGCUGUGAAGGGUUAAAAGAAAGACCUCCCAAUUGUGGAGAGAUUUGGAAGUGAAACGGGAGUUCAAAAUCAGGGUUGAAAAGUGAGGCACAAUAGAAAACAAUAGCCACUCAAGAAAGAUCUCUUGGUGUCAGGAUAGUUUGCUCCCAGAAAAUGUCAGUUCAGUGUUCUGUUGUCAUCUAAAGGCAAAUCUAUUUAUAACUCCGAACUCGGAAGCCCUGGGUGGGUGCUAGAUCAAGGUGCUGAGUGUCUUUCGCCGGCAGAUCAAAAGAAAAUAUGCUCCACGUAGUUGUGCCAAAUUUGUAGGAAGCAUAUUUCAAACAAUUAACAUUAAAUAAUCCUUUAAUCAGCCAACCUGAGUUAGCCAAGAAUGAUUAGAGAAAGACUGAGGGGAGUGUGUACAUGGGGAGGUGGAUGCAUUGGGUCAGUUGAGUGAGGUGGAAGAGUAAAGUGUCUAAAGGGGAAAUGGUAACAGAGAAGAGGGUGAGAUACAACAUCAUAGCGGCCGAUGAAAUGAAAGUUCCCUAGGAAUGGGCAAAUCUGCCAAUUUGUUUUCUCAUUUUUGCAGCCCUAGGUUCAGUUCUCUGCAUUUCCAUACCAGUCUGCCAAAAAGAGGGGGGAGUCUCAUGUCAUUUCAUCAGUAACUUUGUGCGACUUUCUUUUAAAAUACGCAUAUCAUUUUCACUGAUACCUGCAUUCAUGUGUACCCUAUACACUAGUGUGUACAUUUUAUGCACAAUACCUGGCUGAAGAACUGCACUGCAAAAUUCAAAGAAAUGUGAAUUUAGAAGUAUGGCUGUGUCCAGUUCAGGUUUCAGAAUUAAAUAAGUGGAUAUUGCCAGCAGAAUUUUAAAGAAAAAUUUGUGCAUUUUCGCUGGUUUUUGUAAUGAAAGCAGGCAGGGCCAUCUUUACCCGGGGGUGCAAGGGGUGCGGGGCACCUGGGUCCCAAAUUCUGAAGGGGGCUCAAUGUAUACCUACUGUAUACUGGUCCCUCUAGAUCGGUGGCAGUGAAAAGCAAUGGAGCAAAAGUCCCCACCCCCUCCUCCGUCGCUCUGUUACUCCGUAGCAUCAAAUAUUCCUGACAAGUCAGGGAACAAAAGCAGUUUAUUCUGCUGCAUCAUUGUUACAAGUGAGCGAUUCCCCGCCCCCAAAAAGCUCAACAACAUUGAGUUUGCCCCCCCUGAAAAAGGUCAACAACUUUGGCUUCCUCCCUCCUCAAAAAAGCUCAAGAAAAGUUAAUUUGGGGAUAGCUAAUCUAAAUUUGGGGGCGCUGGGUGGCUCUUUGCACCCUGGUGGCGCAUAUACUAAAGACAGCCCUGAAAGCAGGAACAAAUGUUCCAUGGCAGAGUCCAUGGAGAGAAACAUUAAACUGAAAUCAAGGCAGCAGUGUGGUGUUAUAGUAGGAGUUACAGUCUUUACUAAAGUCCCAUACGUCAGUCCCGUGUGACAUCAUUAAGAGUAUACAAAACUGCAAGAAGUGAAUUUACAGGAGACCAGGCAGAGGGGCUUCUUGGUAGUUGUGCCCACCCUGUGGAAUGCCCUCUCAUCAGAUGUCAAACAGAUAAACAACUAUAUGGCUUUUAGAAGACAUCUGAAGGCAGAGGUUUUUAAUGUUUGAGGUUUUAUUGUUUUUAAUAUUUUGUUGGGAGCCGCCCUGAGUGGCUGGGGCAACCCAGUCAGAUGGGUGGCAUAUAAAUAAUAAAGUUGUUGUUUCAUUAUUUAUAGCAAUAAAUUCAUUUCAAGUUUUACGUUUUUCAUAAUUUGCAUCCCAGUAAUUAGCAAAGCAGGUCCACCUCUCUGCAAACUUAACAUUCUGCAAACUUGUUUCUCCUGUAAACCACAUCUGUCAAUUUGUCUGUUUCUGCUAACUCCAUCCCCAUAUAGAUGAAAUCUGUGAAUUUUUCUACCUGAACACACAUGCACAUUUUUGCCGCUGUUAACAAAACCACUAUUAAGGAUUUCACAUUUUUCGGGAUAUCCUCCCCGAGCAGCUUAAAUAAAAUCAACAUGCAGUAAGACACAAUACAUACCCUAUAUUAAUCCUUUGUGACAGAGGCAGCCUGACAGAUAAAAAUACAAACUCUCUUCCAGUUUACAGGGGUUUUUUUCCUCUUGUCUGGUCACUUAGAGAUUAUUCUUAUAAGGUGCAGGUGAUUAGGCUAGUAUCUCUUUGCAAGCUGAUUGUGUCAAGUUCCAUUCAUUUCCCAUUAGCAAGGAAUGGAUGGGUUUGAUACUUUAUAAAUAUGUCAUUGGCAUAUACUUUUAAUUUAAAACUGGAGAUCAGGAAAUACAGAUCUGCAACUUGGCUGUGGCGCGAGGAAGCAACUUGUGUUUGUGUGCACUCUCAGCAAGUGUGAAGGAGAGCUGAGCUUUCACAAUGAAUUAUUAAAGUGCUGCUCACAUACUGUCAAAGGGAACUGUGCUAAUCUAAUCAUAAUCCAUCUAGUAGUGCCACAUCUGUCCGACACCUCCACCUCUUCAUUUACAAUCAGCCUUAAAUAGUACGUAAUCAUUAAUGUCUACCAGCCUGUCAGAUGGAGCAGCAGAUUCAGUUAUCUUUCCAUAUCAAAGAAAUUGUGUUCUGGAUUCCACCGAUGUUGUCGGAAUCAGACUUUGGUAACUGCAAUGUGAUGUAAGUUGGCAGUGUAAGCUUGUCACCGCAGUCAGUCAGUAGUGACUGAGGAUAGAUGGGUACAGUCAGAUCGAUGGUGCUUUGAUACCUGGAAGCAGGCAUGGAAACACGUGCAUAGAGAACAUGAGUCAAACUUGCAAGUUGGCAUCAGUUGUAAGCCAGGUCUCUAUGGAGGCUUCGGAAGCUUACAGAGCCAAUUUGCUGUCCUGCCACUGAUCUCCUCUUUGACCCUAAGAAAGCAGCUUUUGCUUAGGUUAGAGCUGCAGUGUAGCUAAGUGGUAGCACAACGCCUAAGGACUACCAGACAGCCAGCAGCAGUGUUUAAAGUGGACAUUUACUAUGCAAGCUGCUCCCCACCAUACAGAGAACAUCUGCUUUGCCUGCAGAAGGUCCCAUGCUCAAUCCAUGGUAGCUCCAAGCAGGGCUGGGAAGGACCCAUCUGAAACCCUGGAGAGCUGCUAUCAGUCAAUGACCUAGGCAGACCCAUAUGGUCCGACCCAGUAUAAAGCAGCUUCCUAUGUUCUCAAGGCACCUUUGCACACAUAUUUUUGUUUUUUCAAUAGUGUGGCAUAGGAACGUGGGGAUGUAGUUAGGGUUCAUCCAUAAUGUCAGGAGCCGGAGUCAGGGGCAGGUGUCAUUGAAGUUAACUUUAUUCAAAGAAAACAAAACAGCACAGGUCUAGUGAUCACAGCAACUCUUCCCAGCUGAUCUUGCCCCAAUGAGGCAUUUGCGAGGACUGAAGGUCCCCACCUUCCCACCACUCCUUAAGUCUCCUCCUCCCGCAGUUUCUUCCCAAGCAAUCUGAGGCUGUUUCAUCUUACCUGCCUUUGCUCUGCCCUUUUCAUACCUCUGCAUGUUCUGGGAGACCAAGGGGAGGAGAGCUGGUCACAGCAGGAGAGGGAGACUCCCUGGCUUUUUCAGCAGCCUGCCUCCACUCUGCCUCUUGAACCCUUCUCUGCUUCUGCCUCUGGUUCUGGACUGCUCUCUGCCACAGCCUCUUCCUGCUCACUAAAACCUGUUACUUCAUCAGCUUCCAACACCUCCUCCUCCCAGUCUGCUCCCUCUUUGUCCUCUGAUCACUCAUCGCCAUCCCACCACCAAUCCCCUGGCUCUGAGCCUUCUUCCCCUGGGGGUUCCCUUGGGGGCUUCCCACCUCUCCUAUGCAUCUAGCCAGUCCAUGACACAUACCUACCUUUUGCCCCACUCUUCGCAGGCAAAGGUCUGCACUUUAAAGCUCAGUGUUUUUGCUCCAGAGCUUUCCCCUGUGAAAAACCUGCUCUUUAAAGCUGAAGUACAACUAUAGUGAAUUCAGGUGUUCUGCGGGUUGCUGUUUGCUCCGAUUCAGCUUUGGAGAACAGGUUGUCAUGGAUCUAAAGCUCUGGAACAAGAAAAAGAAGGUUGCUUGGACACAGAGCUUUAAAGGGCAAACUGGGCCUCAAAAGCAUGGAGGAGAGGGAAGUGUGAAUAACCUUACACUGAGACAGAUCAUGUAGCUCGGCACUCCAGGAUUUCAGACAGGGGUAUCUCCCAGCCCUACCUGGAGAUGCUGGGGACUGGACAAGGAACCUUCUGCAUGCCAAGCAGAUGUUCUAUGUAGGGCAGGGAGCAGCUUGCACAGAGGAUAUGAGGGCCAGUUUAACAUUACUGCUGGCCUUGGGAAUAUCUGUCCAAACAGAAGUUCAAAAGUAGCGACUAGAACAAAACCCUCCAAUGUGGCUCACAGAAUGAAAACAAAACAUUGGAACCUUUUGAACCAAACCUUGAAUAAUGCCUCCGUCCUCGCCAGCCCCCACAGCCACCCAAACUAAGCCUCUGAAUUCUUGACCCAUCUGAACCCUUCAGCUCAAGUGUGUCUGGCACAGGGAAGAAAGUGCUAAUGGGUCUCAAUGGUAAGAAGGAGACUCUAAAAAAGAAAUGGAGCACUGAUCAGACAGGAAAUGCCUCAUGAAAGUUGAGUGGAUUGCCUCUGGAUGUUUAGAGAAUCAGCUACCAAAUAACUGGUGCCUUGGGGAUAUUUUGUGAGCUCUUGAAACAAAUGUUCACUUUUUUUAUUAUUAUCCUUGCUAUCAAUCCUUUGCGGGUGACCAGUGCUUAGAUGGAUUUGGGACUGAAAGAUGGUCUGUUGCAUUUCACAGUUUGUUCACAGACAAAUCCUGCUGUUUUGGUUUCUCUGGCAGCCUUUCUUCUUUUAGAAAUAUGCUCAGCACGCCCAGGUAAGGGAGGUUCGCACCAUCUUGGGCAUUUAAAACAGGUAAAACUGAAAGAGAGUGUGAUGGGAGGGAACAUCAGGCAAAAAGAUCUGCUCCUUUCCAUUUUUCUUCUCCCUGACUGCUCACUUGUCAGAAGACCCAAGUGCCAGAGACAAAUGUCAGUUUUAGCAGCUGACAGGAAUGUCUGGUCCCAUUGCGCACACCGCAGAUACUGUGGCCCCAAUUUAAAUAACCAUGGUUUCCCCCAAAGAAUUCUGGAAACAGUAGUUUGUUAAGGGGGCUGAGAAUUGUUCGGAGAGCUGUAUGCCCCUCACUUACAGUUCCCAGAGUGGUUUAACAGUCAGUUUCUCUUCCUAGUGAACACUGGGAAUUGCAGCUCUCUGAAGGGAAUAGGGAUCUCCUAACAACUUUGUGCACCCUUAACAAGCUACAGUUCCAGGAUUCUUUAGGGAAAUAGCAACUAUUUUAAGAAGUACAUACCUUCCAAUAUGAAGUGGUCAAAAACGGGGACACCAUAUUCCAGGGCCUUGCUCCUGAUCUAGGCGAGAUUGUGCCCCCCAAUGCUUUUUUCAGGCACAGCACCCCAAAACACGCACUUUGAGGCACCGUGUAAGAUCGUAAAAGUGCUGUAUCGGGGCAGCAAUCUUACAUGGCACCCCAAAAUGCACAUUUUUGGGCACUGUGCCCGAAGAAAGCGCAGCCUGAAAUUGCGCAAGAUUACAGCAGCCAUUUUGUCCACUUUCCCCACAUGAGAAAAUAUGUCCCAUUUUUUUCCACGGUGGUUGACAGGUAUGGUAGUAUGAUAUUGCCUUAGAUGAAUAGUGCAGAUGAGGCCUGGGUCUACUGCGGCUCUAGCCCAAAGAUGAUAGGGGAACAAAAUUAAUUUAUAUAAGACCAUUUGUAUAAAUGGACUAGAAAGGUUAAUUUUUUCAUAAUAGUAUUAUCAGGGCAUUAAUCUAAGAAUGCUAAAGCCAUAGGCUCUCGUGUGUGUGUGUCCUUCUGUGUGUGCCUUGAAUUUCCCAGAUCAGUAAUAAUAAUAGUAAUAAUAAUAAUAAUAAUUAUUAUUUAUACCCCACCCAUCUGGCUAGGUUUCCCCAGCCACUCUGGGCGGCUUUCAACCAAUAAAAAACACAUACCAAUGCUCACAUAAAGAAACCACUCUCUCUUAGUCUAAUCUUCCUUACAGGGUUGGUAUUGUAAGGAUAGAGUAGAUGGAACCUCAAUGUCUGCAGGCCAUCUUGACCCUGUUUAAGAAAUUUGUUACUUCACCACAGCCAAAUCCAAUUUCUGCCCCCAUUUCAAUUUCCAAUGGCAUCCCUGCAAAUGGCAAUUAAUAAUUGUGGAUCAAGGGUGAAGAAAUAUACAGUGUAAUGACCUCAGGACCUGAGGUAGGUUAAGAGUUUGGGAGACGAAGUGGGUAUGGUUCUACCAUUUUUGAUACGGUGUUGCUUAUGGCUAAUACAUAAGCUCAUGUGGUUUGAUACUUAGGGUGGGGCGUGGAAUCCCUCUGCUCCUCUCAGAGGCACCCCUGGGUUGCCAACAUUUAUUUUCCGGCCCCAGGCUGCAUCAUUUAAGAAGGCCUAAAGCAGGGUUUUCUUCCUCCUUUCCCCUCACAAUUUAUUUCUGGCCCUUUUUCAGCAAGAAAUCAAGAUACAUGACAAAGCCUAGUCAACAACCCUGACAUCCUUGUGAAGUUUCUCUUGACACCAAGAGGCUUUCUAUGUUUCCUUCCACUUUCUAUGUGAUUUACUUUCAUGAGAAAUGAAUCAGUGGCAUACUGACGAGCUGAUUUCACACAAAAAUCAGACAGAAUUAAUUACUUUUAGCCACUCUUCCUCCCGGCUUCUGAUGACAGGCGAUGGUACUGUGAACCCCAUUGAUACUCACCCUCUUCCCCUCCAAUGACUGUCGCCACCACUUUGGUACAAAUCCAUCUCCCAUUUACCUCGGUUCCUUUGUCAGCCAAGAAACUCUGUUCUUGGUGCCAGUUUUCUCUUCUGCACUGGCACAACCAGGGCUGGCCCUACCGUUGGGCAAAGUAAGGCAUCUGCCUCAAGCAGCAGGCACUGUAGAUAGCAGCAGUGACAGGCCCUAUCCUGUCUGUUCCUCCUGAACCAUCCCAACUUGGGGGAGGAUCAAGCUGCACAUGCAAUUCCUCACUGGUAAAUGCAGCAUCAACAAUGAAAGGAAGAGCAAACUCUUAGGCCAUUCUAUGCUGUGCCUUAUAGCAAAUAUUUAUCUCAAGCUCACCACCACCAUACAUCUGCUGUAUAAGGACAAUGGGAGGAAUUCAGUGUCACACUAUUAUGAUCACUAUUGUGGGUGCAAGCAUUUCUGCUUUCCAGACACAAUGAUCUCCCCUUUCUUCCCCCAUAUGCUAUUCUGGAGAUUCUCCAGACCACCAGUUUCCUCCCCACAAUAUGCUGGAAUGCUGCUAAGUCCAGAGCAUUGUGGAAGAUGCAAAAUGGUGGCCAGACUGCCAGCACAGUUGCUGUUGUCACUUGUAACAGCAGCAGCGGCGGCAAGAAAACCACACAAAACCGAAAGAAAAGUGCUAUUGCCACUGUUCAUGGUGAACCCUAAAUCCAAGAAACUGUUGAAGAUUUAUUGCCUACUCACAGGGUAGGAUAUUGUCCCCAGUUUCUCUUCCCACAAAUAGGUGGAGAAUUUUGAGGUGUCAUUUGUGCAUAGUUCUGUGCUGCUUGGGCAGGCUAUGUUGGAAAAUGUUCUGUUCUGUCCAGCUUGGCUCGCUCUAUUGCCAUUGUUCUCAUUUGGUAAAAUCCACUGGCAAAUACAUGAGCCUCUUCUCUAAUUGGUUACCAUAAUGCAGUGGCAGCCAAGUAGCACUCUGAGCCAAUCUCACACUCUGAGAUUAGUGGGGGUAAGGGCUGCUUUUCAACAUGGGUGGUGGUGGUUUUGCCAAAUGUAAGCAACUGAGCAUGCUCAGUCCACACUGUGCUGUUUUGGGAAGAUACCCCUCCCCUUAGCAAUUGUUAAAGAGAUUUAUAUACAUCUGCAAACCUUGUGGUUUUCUCCAAGCCUGCUGACACAUCCUUCUUGUGCAUGGAUGGUGCUGUUAUUGGCACUCAUGCCACAGCGCAGAAAAUAGAAGGAAGGAUAUAUUUCCCAUAAAAUGCACAUUUGACAAACUCCAGUAGCCAAGCUGAGAAUGUAAGUCACAUCUUCUCCACGUUACAUUUGCAGGCUCCCUGAAUCCCAAAUCUACUCACUCGUAUCUUCAAAAAAAACCAAUACUUUCAACUUUUAUCUCUCUCGUCUCUCCUAAAAUAGCUAGCCAGAUGGGUUAUCACUAUUGCCACUAGGGGGCAUAUUACAGCUUGCAUAGCAUAUGACAGCCUAGCCGUAAGUUAACAAGCCUAACGCAAUCUUUCAAUUUUUGUUAUUUUUCUUCUUCCUUUUUUUAUUGUAUGGGAUCAUCUCUGGACACUGUUUGUACUUUGAUCUCUCCAAAGUUUGGCAUCCCUCCUACAAAAAAAAUGAAAGUGUGCAAGAGAGAAAAGAGCCCUUUGUUCUCCACAGCUGUCGUCAUUCUGUAGAAAAAUCUCAGCGCAGGUAUUAAACACUCGUUAUUGAUCGGUCAGCCGGUGGUCCAGUUUUAUCUUCUCAUACCUGUCGGAGUGAGGUUAUUUGCACUACAAAUAAUUUGGUUCCUGAGGUCUCACUGAAGUUAAAAGCGCAGGGUAGGCUGGAACACUGAUGAAAACAUGUCGAGGGAACUGCAACAGGAGGCUCCCAUCCAAUAAAGAAUCGCCGCACUCCCAAUGACAGACUCUUCAUGCAAUACCACAGGCUGCAUCCAUAGCACCAUGCUCCUGAAUAGUCAUAUUCUAAUGUAAAGCAAAGCCUGAACGAGAUUACCAACCUCCCAGGGCAAGUGUCUAAAAAAAGGGGAAAAGUUCCUGUCCACUUAAUCUGUGCCUUUUUAAAAAAAAUGUUACAAUUCUUCAUGUGUGCAUCAACAGACACAUAUUUUUUAUGGUGCCAAUUUAGUUAUAAUGUUGUGCUACAGUACCCUAACUAACCUACACAAAUGCUCAUCUGACAAGUUGCUGAUACUGUGUGGCCCCCAAUUUACUUACACUGUUGAGUAACAGUCUUGUGCUUUGUUCUUUACAAUAUUUCUUUCUAUGCCAUGCCAGUGCUGUAUCUCACUGACAAGCAGCUAUUAUUAUAUCCCUCACCUUUCUGGCUUAGCCUCUACAUUCACUAGUGACAGGCAUUUAUGACAAUGCUGAAAUUCACCAUGAAUCCCUUCAUACACAAAACACACCAACCAAGCUAUUUACACUACUAUGAAGACCUCUCCAUCACCCUCCCAUCCCUAGCUGAACAAACGGCACUAGACUUCAAAGGUUCUAAGAGGUAGAACAUUUGUUCAUGACAGCUAGGGCUGCCAUAUGCCCGGAUUUUCCUGGACAUUACUGGGAUUUCAUGGGCGGAAUUGACAUCUGGGGGGAAUUUCUGAAAGGCAGUGCUUUGUCCUAGACCUAGAUCUUAGGCAAGUCAAUUGAAAAAACAGUGUUUGGUGUUUUCGUAACCAACAAUUUUUUGGUCUUCGUAAAAAAUAACUUUUGGGGUAUCCUGGUUUUUACUUUUUGAAAUAUGGCAACCCUACCACAGUAGCACUCAAACUGAGAGUGCACUAGUCACCUAAAAUGCAGCUCCUUCAGUGAAGGAGGAAGUCCACAUAUAGCAAGACUGCUUAAAGUGUUUAAAGUUAAACCUUAAAGUGUUUCCUAUCAACAUUAUUACCUUUGCUCUUUGGAUCCUCUUCUAUGACCCUCUUGUGGUUUCUUACAGCAUCUCGGAGUAACUUCACAUGUUCCUUUUUCUGACAAACAGCUGAAUCAUCUAGUUGGGAAAUGUGAGUAAAAACGUAUUGUGAGAAUGGCUGCCCAAAUUCCUCUUUUAUGUGGGAUUUUAACAGAUUCCCAUGUGCAUCUAACAGAAGGAAUAGUGCCCGUGUUUUAAAAAAGUAUAUAAAAUAAAUUAUACAAAUGACUGAAUGUUCGUCUAUCUUUUUUGCUUACUGUGUUUCAUAUACUUUUUGAAUCGUGUAGUAAUCCUUAUGUUAGAAACAGUAAACCUACAAUGUCUCCUAGUAUCAUACAGAAACCACCGAACAUGUGGGCCUGCAACCCUGGUUGCAUCUGUGAACAGUGGGGCUGAAAAACAAAAACAAACUCAAGUUGGGCCAUAUGUCCUCAACAGCAAUCGGGUACUCAAUGAUAUGCGUGGUGACAAACUAUGAUGCAAUUUCCCUUCCCUGGGCAGGAAGCAAAUUAGAUAAAGAUAAAGUAGCUUGCUUGGAAUGAGAUCUCUCUGAGCUUGCACCUUUGGAGAGGUUUAACCCUGCAAGAUAGGUCAGCAUGAAUCUCCCCAUAUUGCACAUGGGGGACUGAGAGAUAACAGCUUGCCUCAGGCCACCUGGUGAGAUCAUGGCUGAGGAGAGGGAUGAAGUUCACCAAGCAGAAACCAGAGGCUUCAGAAGAAGAGCUGAGCGUGCCUCCUGCCGCAAGGUGUGCACACCGAACCCCACACCAUUCGGGACAUUCUCCAUCGCCAGAACAGAGCAACAUCCUCCCAAGGGAAGGCAAAGAGGUGUCACUUUUUUGGGGGGGGGAAUGUGUGCCUCAUUAUCAGAUAGCUGAACAUGAAGUUCUUAGUUACAGCAAGUAAAUAAAGCGUGGAGGAUACAGAAGCAGCAGCAGUGGAGGAGGUUUUCGCAUGGUCUGGCUCCCACAUGUGCCGAGAUCGUUAGAAUGAUUUAUAGGGAAGAAUGCUAGUCUUUUUUCUUUUUUGCUUUAUAAUAAUACAUUAGGCUUUUAACCUCUGACCAAAAGAGGUGGAAGGGAGGAUUCAGAAAACACCAUGUUGCUUGCAGCCCGGCCUGACCUGGGGGAACUACCUCUUUGCCCCCCCCACCCCCCGCCUUCCUGGGUUCUUUCAAACCACAAAGCUCAGGGUGCUUCCGCAGCGCAUGAGGGGUUAAGCCAGGCUGUGGAAUGCAAGAGUUUACAGAGAGGCGUCGGCUGCCUUGAGGUCACCUGUGAGGGAUUAGCUGGGCCUUGCAGACAGUUGUUGUUUGAGGACUGUCUGAGGCCUCAGAAAGGGGGUAGUGGGGGUGGUGGAAAGGGGGGGUGAAGAAUGGCCCGGCGGGUGGGAUCUUCCUGUCCUGCUGGGAUUAUACAACUAUCAGAUGCAUUUGUGAAAGCCGAACUGUAAACUCUCUGUCUUUUUUGUUAAGGAAAUAAAUCCAUCACCGGCUUCAGGGGGAAAGAAGGGGAAAAAAUGAACCUCUCCUCUCAGUAUGUUUCAAGGCAAAGGUGGAAGCGACCCGGCAGGGAUGGCGCAGUGCACAUGCCGGCCAGCUCUUUAGACACUGAGGAAGCCUUUGUGGCUAUAGGCAGUGGGGAUCCCUUGUCUUCUCCGGUUGGAACUGGCCAAGCGGGAUUGCCAGGCCCCUCCUCCUCCGGAUAAGCUUUCUGUGCGAGAGAGACAAGAAUUACCAAAAAGUUCCGAGGAAGAGGGAGACCAGAGGGCCAACUUCUCAAGCGAAGGGGGAAACACGGUUUGCCCGCACUUCUGACCUACUCAGAUGCUGGUUGGGGAUUUCCAAAAUGGCCCCGAAGGAGCUGGCAUUCCUGUUCUGAAACAUUAACAGCCAGCUGCUGGGUUUGCACGCUGAGAAGGAAGCCCCGUUGAGUUCAGUGUGGCUUGUUCCUAAGUAAGCGCACCUAAAGCAUUUGUUUGUGAAAAUGCUUUGGUUUGUGAAGAAGAAAACCACGGCAUGUUGGGUGACGAUACGUGAAAGAAGAGAUUGUGCCAUUCGUUUGUUUAUUUUUGCCUUGGGUAGAACAAAACAAAAGCCUAAGAAAGCCAUAAAAAGGGAUUCAAUUGUAUCAAUGAAAUAUUAACAAAAACUAUGCAAAUACCAUAAUAUGAGGAAGUUGAGAUCAUUAAACAAGAAGUGCCUCUCUAAACAUUUUUGUUUCUUGCCUUCUGAGUGACGGCAGGCCUGCCACAGAAAAGGCCCUGUUUUCUGCCCUCACAGAUCUACCUCGCAGGGAUGGGAACCAGAGCACAUGCUACCCUGAUCAUCUUAAAAAGGGGUGUAUGUUUGUGUAUCUCUCUUCUGUCUUUGGAUGUGAAACUUGAAAUUGCUGCCUGUACCACAGAUAUUUAAAAAUUACCCUCUCUCACAGCCUCCACCCUGGUGUGCUUAAUGCAGUUCUCUAAGCAAUUGUGUCAGAGAAGUCCUGUUGGCUUCAUUGUGACUACACUGGCAUUAGUAGUUUUCCAGGGAGCAACUGUAAGGCAUUUUAGACCUCAAAGGGCCAUUAACUUUCACUGGUAUUUAAGCACUUUUUAAUCAGCGGUCGUAGCAGUUUAUCUGAAUCUGUUCACAAUCAUUUAGCUGCAUUUUCUGGAUAUGCAGCAGACAUAAGAGGCAAUGAAAGUUAAUGGUAUUUACUUGACUAAGGGUGAGUUCAUGCAUGUUCGUUAUUUACUGAGCUUCUCCUGCAGUGUUUAAAAUAUUAACAGAACCUGCAGAAUGCCUUGAUUUGGAUCAAGACCAUAGCAUUGGAGGAACAAAUCCCCCCCCCCCCAGUUUCUUGGUCCAAAUUGCCCUUCAGGAGCUGCCAUUUGCUCUAUUGAAGAAAAUGUAUACAUACCAGAAAGGUAUCAGUGGGUUGCCCAUUCCUGCCCCACCAGCAUGAAGCAAAUACCAACUUUAGGGUAGGGAAAGCAUGGAACAGGAAAAUAGUAUGGGGAGAAAGCAUUGAUUUCCUUCCACCAGUGCCUUAUUCCUGAUCCAAAUUAUCUUGGAUGUCCCAGGUCAUAAUAUUUUGCAUGUGUGUAACAGCUGUCAUAGGUAAAACAGACAGAGCUUUUGUAUUUUGCAUGGUUAAUCUUAUGGCAUCAUUUCCCCGGAGACCUCUGACAUGUACAUAUGUGUGUGAACCACCAGCAAUGUAUACCGGUGGGAGGGGGCAGAACAGCAGUGGUACUAAUCACACUGGGAUGGGAAUGGGGCAAGGUCAGGGAAGCCCCACAGGGGUGUGUGGACCUUGCGGGGCUGCUGCCAACUCCAACCCAGAGUUCCCUUGACCUCACAGCUGCCUUGCCCUGGUAGCCCCAAGGAUGCUGCCCCCCCAUGCCGUGCUGGUGGUGGUGUGAAUCAUCACUACAGAAUCUAACCCUUCCUCUGUGUGUAUAGUUACUGGCCAAUGACCUGUUCCUGUGUGGAGGUUUGAUGCGCAGAAAUCAGCAAGCAGUUUUUUAAUGACACGGAGCUAAACAUUAUCAACUACAAACCGGACCCAUUCAAAAGGUGGAAUUCCGCCCUGCUCUCGGUGACUUGAAAUAUUUUAUGGCUCUCUUUAGGACCAUAAAGCAUCUUAUUGUCUACCCCCUGCAAUACUUAAGCAUUUGCCGUGUUAAAAACUAAAGUUAAAUCUUAACCAGUUGAGCCAGAUGUUUCUCUGAUGUCAUCUUAAGAGUUUUCAAGGCCAUUGUUUGAUUGCUUAAUUUUUCAUACAAAACCAGAUAAACUUGUUUCUAUUCUUUAGCAACUGGUUUUUCUGCUAAUGAUUGCUUCCAAUGAAGCAAUAGUUUACUGACAAAUAUUUGUUUAAGCAUAGUCCCCACAAGGAACUGGAACCAUGUGACAAGUUGUUCUGAGUCUUCCACAGUCAGAGGCAGUGUAGCUGUGAUUAUUAGGUUCUGAGGACAAACAACAGGUGGGGACUUAAUUCCAUUGUGUCCUGCUGGUGAAUUUCCAGGACAUGCAGCUCACCACUCUUGAGGUCUAUGGUCUUUAUUAGAUUAACUUCUGGCUUGAUCCACCAAGUCACAUCUUGCACACUUAAGAAAGGCAAGCAGAUACAUCAGUACUUUGCUUCACGGGC